UGUCUUCCACCUUGCUACAGGGAGGCAGGGGAUCGUGGCGGCAAUCCACCCACCAUGGCCGCGCCUCGGACACGCGGCGGCCAUCCCCCGUCCCUCUGAGAGGUUAAGAGCAUCCCCACACCCCGUGGAACCCUAACCCUCGUUCCUCUUCCCCGCUCAAUUCCUCUCUGGAUCUGAAUGUUGAACCGAGCCAUCGUCGCCAUGGCCUCCGAUGUCCACGCGCCCACCGAGCUCCCCGCGUCCAGCCACCUCGACCAGGAGCUUCACUGACGUCCACUCCGUCGACUAAGUCCAUCGGUCGGAGCCGGGAGCCCCUACAUCGACCACAUCGAGGUCAUCUUCAACCUUCGCCCCGCCGCUCGCCGUCUUUGAAACGGCCUCAUCAAAGCCUCCCCGACCUUCCAAGCUUGUCAUCGAGCACCGCAGUGAGCCCCUCUGCCGAUUCCCUCAUUUUUUUCCUUCGAUCUGUAGUGUUUGCCGUCGCUCCCGGGGUCGUCCGUGGUCGUCAUGGUCGGAGCUCCGCUCGCCGCGCCCCUAGUCGUGCCCGCGAGCACCUGGCCGCGCUUGCGCCCCCUGGGCGCCCCUGCCCGUCCGCCCGUUGCCACUCACGCGUGCUCGUGCUACUGCUGCUCGUGCUACUCUGUUGCUGCUCCCGCUCACUGCUCUCGAUGCAUCCUGCUGCUGCCGUUAUUUGGCCGCAGCUGCGUCUGCUCCCUGCUCCUUGUAACGCUGCUGCUUGCUAUUGCUAAUGCCUACUACUGUUGCUUCUAUCUAUACUUCUCAUGCCGCUGCUGUUGCUGGUUGCCAUGGCCGUGAGUGUGUGUUCGUGUGUGUGCACGGUUGUGCCACGGCCGGCCCUUAUUUAAUUAGUCUAGGCUUAGUUAGAAGUACUACUAGUUUAGUGGUAAGUUAAUCUAGUAGUAGAUGACAUGUAGACCCCAUUAAAUAAGUUAGAUUUAUUUAUUUGUUUAGGUAAUAGUCUAUGACAUGUGGGCCACACCUGCCCUUUUGACUAGUCAAUUUGACUUGGUCAAUUCGGAUUAAACUAAAUAUAAAAAUUCAGAAUAUGUUUAAAACUUAGAGAAUUCAUAGAAAAUAAUCCGUAAGUCGGAUGAAAAAGUUUUCUACAUGAAAGUUGCUCGGAAAAAUUCAACGAAUCCGGAUACGCGGUCCGUUCAUCUGUCAUAUGCCCCUAGCAUGCUGAACAUGGAACCGUCCCCUCUCUUUUCAUUUGUCCGAAAAUGCCAAACUACGGGAAAGCAUUCCCGGAUGUUAUCCCUCUUCGUCGUUAGCAUGUAGCACCGCAUUAGAAUACAUCUAGCUCUGCCUGUUGUCCUGUUAUGCUCUUGCUUGCUAUGUAUUUACUGUUUCUCCCCUCCCCCCCCCCUCUUCUCUUUGGUAGACCCCGUGGUGGCUGUCGAUGCCACUGUGAUCGACUACGUCAUCGACGACCCCUCCUUCUCGUCUGAGCAACCAGGCAAGCCCCCCCUUUGAUCAUCCCAAUAUCGUCCAUUUCAUUCUCUCAUGCUUGCAUUAGAUUUUGCUAUUGUUAUUGUUUGCUUCUAUUCUGAUGCAUAGCCUGCUUUUGUAACAUGUUUAUUGUUAUCUUACCUGCUUAUCCUAAACUGCUUAGUAUAGGUUGGUUAGUGAUCCAUCAGUGACCCCCACCUUGUCCUUGUGGCCCCUGCUUCAUCAUUGAAGACCCGAUCAACGGGAUCGAAGACCAGGCCCCGACACCGCACAUCACUUUCCCCUUAGUUGCUCGACACUACUGGGUUACUAUCGAGUGCCGAGGGUGAGACCUCUACAGCACUUCUGAUGUUAACCCUAUAGUGUAGCUAUUCGGUCGUGGUCAUCGAGGGUGAUUCCGCCUUAACCACUUCCGAUACGACUCUGUUGUGCAACCCCUCAAGUGUGAACCUCGGGGGUGAUUCCUCUUACGUUCACCUUGAUGAUUACAUCGACUGGAAUUCAUCGAGGGUGAUUCCUCGGGUUUUCCCCUUGAUGUUUAGACACACAGUUACUAUGAUUACUAUGACUUUACACUGAACCAUGUUACUAAAGACGGGUCGACCCUGAGGGGUACCCGCGCAAGCAUAAUUGCGAGUGAUAUGGAGUCGGGUUGACCUGGAAGGUGCUCGAGAGAUAAUUACGAGGCGUGGUCGGGCAUUCUUAGCCCUUGCCGCAAGUCCUCGAGAUGGGGCAACGGAGUCACAUCUUUCGUGAGUCUCUGCUUGUUAGCGCGUGUUCCUAAUACACUAAGAUUUGGAUAUUUGAUCCGAGGGGCCUCUGGCCUGAUAGCACUAACCAUCACGUGGGCAUAGUAUGGGCGUUCUGCGUCGUAUGCAUCAGCCGAAGCUUAAUAGACGUCAGCGACUUAGCGGUGCGCGCCGGGUUGGACUGGUAAGCACAUGCCUUUUUAAAGGAGGUAGCUAGGUCUGGUCACCGGCGUUGUACGCAACAUGCAGGAGUUCCCGGGGCGAUGGCCCAUGACCCCUCGGGGCAUAGGUUUAGUCCGGCGUGCUGACCUCUCUAUUAAGCCUAGGUCGGGUUGCACGUACUGUUUGGCCGAGGUCGAGCAUGACCCAAGAAAGUGUUUCCGGCCGGAGUUAAGCGAGUGUGGUGGGUAAGUUGGUGCACCCCUGCAGGGAAGAAAACAUCUAUCGAUAGACUGUCCUACGGUGACGGAUACUUGGAGUUGUAUCCCGACCGAUACAACUAGAACUGGAUACUUGUGAUGAGAAUUGGAUUGUGAUGACAAUUGGAUAGUAUGGCUCUAGGAUUGCUUUCUCGCAGGGAGUCGAGAAAGGAUCUUUGGCCGAGGUUGAUAACACUACUACUACUGUACUUUAUGCUACUCUACUCCCUCCUGUUUGCUGCAAGAUGAUGGUUUCUAGAAGAUGCUAGUCUUCGAUAGGACUAGGCCUUCUCUCUAUUCUGGCAUUCUACACCCAGUCCACAUAUACAGCCUUCCUUUGAUAAUGUUGCAUAUGUAGUGUAGAUCCUUGCUUGCGAGUACUUUGGAUGAGUACUCAUGGUUGCCUUGCUCCCCCUUUUUCCCCUUUCUUUUUCUUUCCGGUUGAUGCAACUAGAUGUUGGAGUCCAGGAGCCAGAUGUCACCGCCGGUGCCUACUACUACAUGAAGACCGCUGAUGACCAGGAGUAGUUAGGAGGUUCCCAGGCAGGAGGCCUUGCCUUUUCGAUCGUAGAUGCUUUUGUGCUAGCCUUCUUAAGGCAAACUUGUCUAACUUAUGUCUGUACUUAGAUAUUGUUGCUUCCGCUGACUCUUGUGUAUUCGAGCUUAUGUAUUCGAACCCUCGAGGCCCCUGGCUUGUAAUAUAAAGCUUGUAUUAUUUUAAUUUGUGUCUAGAGUUGUGUUGUGAUAUCUUCCCGUGAGUCCUUGAUCUUGAUCGUACACAUUUGCGUGUAUGAUUAGUGUACGAUUGAAUCGAGGGCGUCACAAGUUGGUAUCAGAGCCGACUGCCUGUAGGUAGCCCCCUUUAAACUCCUUGGUCGAAGUUAAGUCUAGUCUUUGAAAAACUUUUACUAACAUGGCUGUGUGUCUUACGGGCCCACGUUGCCAUUGGGUGGUAUUAGGAUCUUUUAUUCCUCGUCUAUACUCUUGGACUCUGAUCUCUCAUCUAUUCGGGUUAAAGGUUUUACUAACUCUAACCUUAGGUUCUCGUAACUACUUCCUCCCGGAGAGCCCCUCAUUCCAGAUGGUCGCUUGGUGCACCAGAAGAUUCCGAAGAUACUCUUCGAUGUUUUCCCGAGACCCUUGUGCCCUUUGCCGUUGCAACUCCUUACCACUGAUGAAUCCCUAUGGAUAGCCACAUACCCUUGCCGUCAAAACCUUCUUUUCCAAUUGCUCUUGCUAUUACAAGAUACCCUAAAAUACUUUCCGAUAUUCCGAAAAUCCGUUGCGCCUGCUGCCUUGCAGCUCCUUUCUGCAAUGAAUACAUGUUCGAAUAAUUCCUCACACUUAUCGAGGAUUUGUUCACUCCUAGUUGUUCAUGUGUUUCACAAAAUAUCAUGAAACGCUAUUCGACCUUCCGAGAAUCCUUUGCAACCUAUUGCUUUGGAAAGUCUUGCAUGCUGGCAUUAUGGUUAAUUCCAUAUUUAUAGUAAUCUCCGUUGACAUCCUAUGUCUCUAUCGUUUCGAGUCCCUUCAUCCAAUUUGUUGUGAAUGCUCGAAAUCCUCAAUCAGAUCCUAGCAUUCAUCCUUCCGGCUCAGACGUCACUCCGAACAUGGGCUUGUUCUUGGCAAAUGAAACCUUGAUUGAUUGUCGAUAUAUAUCAAUUCAACUCAAUUAUCUUUUGAUCACAGCCUCUGCUUCUGAUCUUCUGAUAUGAAAAUCGUAAUUCCUUUGUACUCCCUCCUUCCAUCUAUAUAGGGCCUAAUGCAAUUUUUAAGACUGCCUUUGACUAUUGACAAGGUUAAUAGUUCAUGACAUGCACAAUGUGAAAAUUAUAUCAUUGAAAGCUCCUUUCACACAUGAAUUUAACGGUGUGCUUUGUGUAAGUUGCAUGUCAUAUAUUAUUGAUCUAAUAUUUGGUCAAAGUUAGCCUCGAAAAACGCAUUAGGCCCUAUAUAGAUGGAAGGAGGGAGUAUUCAAGCUUUGAAGUUAUCCAGAUAUAUCUAUAAUCCGAUGCCUUUGCAUUAUUUCUUCUUUUGGUUGAGUAUCGAUACUCACAUCAGAUCCUUUGUUGGACUACCAUCCGACAGUGCCCUUCGUAUUUAAUCAUCUUUUGAAUUCUUCCCUGCUACCUAAUGUCUUGGUAAAUUGUAUCCCCUACUUUUGUCUACCUUGUUCUGCUUCCGAGCUUGAGUUAAUUACCUCUAACGUUUUUGCAAAUGUUCCUAAGAUGCCCCGACGGGUUGAACUAAUGCUUUCCCUAAUUUGUGUGAACCCGGAAAUUUCUAUGGGUCAUACUCUACUGGUGUUACGCCUAAUAAAAUUUCAACACUACAACUUCUUCAAAAGCGAGAAGUGAAUGAAAGGUUCAGCAUUGGAGAAGUGGGAGUCGGCCUUGAACCUUGUGCUCAUGCCCAUUGACACGAUGUAGAACUUAUCAUGGAAGCUGCUCGUAAAAAAAUAAUUACCCCCCUUGUUACAAGUUCUUCUGGUAUCCGUGGUUCGAUCAUUUAUGAUCAUGGUUACGACCAUGAUUGUUUUCCUUUGGUUCUAUUUCUCAGACAAGUUAAAGUACUUGCCUUUUGCAGAUUAAUAUGCCUGCCCAACCUCUACUCUGCUCUACCAUCGAGUUUUACCCUCUGGUAUCUCGAGAAUAUCACAAAACUACAUAACUCCUUAUGAGUUCUUCAUCUACUAUUAUUCUCACUGAUUCCAAUUUUUCCUCGGGUUCUGAGUGGUUAGACACUCAAGGACAACGAUAACUGAAUCGAGUUUGCACAGAAAUUCAACAACUCUUGGUAAUCUUCUUUACUUACGAGUUUGUACUUGAUCACAUCAUUCCUAGCUUGCUUGGCUAUAUCAUUAUCGUGCCAAUUUUAACUGUGCUACUUGGCCCUUUUACCGGAGCACGAUUUUUAAACGAUGAGCUAACCUUACGUCGAUCUUCCUCGUCAUACCAUUUCGCCUUGAACAGCAAGCUUGAAUUCAAGUUUGUUUCGUAUCCUUGGUUCUAAUAACCUUUCGCUUUAUCAUUCCUUUGACUUGAUGUCAUCGCCGACCGACUACAUCUUCAUGAAACCUGUUGAAAAAUGUGAUGUGAUCAUCAUCAACAUUCUAAGCGUUUCCAGGACAUUAAUUGAAUUCAUGAUGAGAGAUAUCAUGCUUGCCCCCUUGAUGAUUGCGUUAACAUCGACAACAUUCUUGCAUUUCCUCAACACAAAACUUGUUCAUGUUUUGUGUUAUACCUUGAGAUCCUUGCUAUCUAGCAUUUGCUUCUCUUUUACUUGGAGUAUUACCAUCUCUAAUUUCAAGAAUGUCGUGAGAAUUUCACCACCUCUUAAGAAUUGUUGGCACAAGUGAUACUUCUUGCCAUCUCCGUUCAUUCCUUUGUCCCCGUGUUGUUUCUAGCCAGAAAAUCGACAAUUGAACUAUUAUGUGCGAAUUCAAACUUCUAGCAACCCUAUUGCUUUGAAGUUAAUGGUCGAUAGUCCAUUCUUAGACUAUUGGUUAUUGAAUCACCAUUCUAACAUUGAUCAUGCUACCUAUGCCCAUAUUUCGGAUGCACCUUUCAACCAAUGUUUAGUUGUGUAUGUUUUCCUAGAGCAUACAUCAUUAUAUCAUUUGAUCUGACAAAUGAUAUCUCCGUGUUCACGCAAUUGUGGAAAUCCAUCUUUUUGGAAGUCUUGAUGAAUUAUCAUGGAGUCCACCAGUCACCUCCUCAUCCUCUCCUUAGUUUAAUGAUGAACUCUUGUUUUGGAACUCGCUUCCAUAGUUCAUUGCCCAAGAAUCUUAUAAUGUCAUCUCGACAAUUGCAUUGCACCUUUUCUUCUCAGGCAUCCUGAGUCUGAGGUAUCCUGACACCAACCAGAUCUGAAUCUCGGUCAGAUAUGAUGGUUGGAACAUAUUUCCAAGAGUUAUAGCAAUAGUCUUUUUAUGACUCGAUAAGGUGAUGUCUUGCCUAGCACACCAGGCCGGAGGACCUAUUAUUAUAGUAUCCUUUUUAGCAAGUUUAGCCAUUCUUCCAUGAGGAAAUUGUAAGACUUAUUCUAUAAGUUGUUCCUGAUAUGGAUCCUUUGUGAAUCCAAAGUCUGAUCUUUACCCAAUGACCAUGUCAAUGCUAUCUCGAAGCAUGUCUGUGGUACUCCGAUUUUCAAAAAGAACAUUUGUAGCACAAUGCUAAAUUUUCUUUAUCAUUUAUCCUAACACCGUUGUAUGGGUAAUAUCAUGAAAUCCCUUCCCCUUACCUUAAUGGUUUUCUACUUUCUAUCCUGUCAUGGAUAUCAUUCUCCGCUUGUCCUUGGAAAGGAUAUACCCUUGAAAUAUGUGUUUAAAAAUCCUUUCCAUUGUUCUGUUUAAUCUGAUAAUCACAUUUUCCUUUCCAUUGUUUUGUUUAACCUUCUUGAGGUUUAUAUGAUCUAAGCAGUAAUAGUUCCCUGCUUAUGUAAACACCUCGGUGCACAAUUUGACAGUAAGACCCCGUUAUUAUUGUUGUUGACAUUCCGGUAAUCACCGAUGGACGAGAACUUUGCCUAUUGGUCCGCCUUGUUUCAACGAGCAAGAAAAUGGUUCUCUUCGUCCCUCGCCCUUGGUACCGAAGUUGUUGCCGACAUAACUAAUAGGCUAUUUUCUGGCAUGCCUUGCUAUCAUGACCGUGCAAGAUGCCAGCCCCUUCCGAAUUCUAACUCACAUGGUGGGCCCAUAAUACUACAAAAAAAGACACAUCCGUGACAUUUUGGGCCGAACGAAAAAAAAUUAUGUCAUACAUAUGACACUCUAUGACAACAAUUGUGACAAAACCUGGUAUCAUCAUAGAUGUGGUGGGCUCCUACUUCUAUGAAAAAAAUCAUGACAGAAAAUGGGCUUUUCGUCUUGGGCGGGCCGGAGACGCAGCUGCAUGACAUUCUUUGGGCCAUCCAUGACGGAAAAAACUGUGGUAGAAGCGAGGGGGGGAUUUCGGGGAGUUGCCGGUUACGGUGGGAGGCCGGGGGCCGAACGAUGCGUGUUUCUCUUGUACACGUAUGCGCGUGUGUGCGAGGCGUUGGCUCUAACUGAACCCGAGCGAGGCGUUGGGCUCUAACUGAACCCGUGCGAUUGCACUACAGGCUACGCGUUACUGAACCCGAGCGAUCGAUCGAUGGCUGUUAACUGAACCCGAUCGAGCGAUUCCUUCGCUACUACUGCUAACUGAAGCCGGUCGAAUGGAUGANNNNNNNNNNNNNNNNNNNNNNNNNNNNNNNNNNNNNNNNNNNNNNNNNNNNNNNNNNNNNNNNNNNNNNNNNNNNNNNNNNNNNNNNNNNNNNNNNNNNNNNNNNNNNNNNNNNNNNNNNNNNNNNNNNNNNNNNNNNNNNNNNNNNNNNNNNNNNNNNNNNNNNNNNNNNNNNNNNNNNNNNNNNNNNNNNNNNNNNNNNNNNNNNNNNNNNNNNNNNNNNNNNNNNNNNNNNNNNNNNNNNNNNNNNNNNNNNNNNNNNNNNNNNNNNNNNNNNNNNNNNNNNNNNNNNNNNNNNNNNNNNNNNNNNNNNNNNNNNNNNNNNNNNNNNNNNNNNNNNNNNNNNNNNNNNNNNNNNNNNNNNNNNNNNNNNNNNNNNNNNNNNNNNNNNNNNNNNNNNNNNNNNNNNNNNNNNNNNNNNNNNNNNNNNNNNNNNNNNNNNNNNNNNNNNNNNNNNNNNNNNNNNNNNNNNNNNNNNNNNNNNNNNNNNNNNNNNNNNNNNNGUCACACCCCUCCCGAUGAACAGGACCCAUGUUUCGGCCGUAGGAGGUCCGUUUCGUCCGUUUUGCAGUGCGCCACACCCCUCCCGAUCAACAGGACCCCCGUUUCGACCGUAGGAGAUCCGUUUCCUCCGUUUUGCAGUACGCCACACCCCUCCCGAUCAACAGGACCCUGUUUCGAACGUAGGAGGUCCGUUUCCUCCAUUGUGCAGUACGCUAGGCCUCGUUUCCAUCGCCUAUUUCGUCCAAGCCGGUUGGCUCCCAUGCGUUUCGUUGUCUCCCGAUGAACACGACGCAUUUUGUUGCCUCCCGAUGAACACGACGCAUUCCGUUGCCUCCCCAUGAACACGAGCAUUCCAUUGCCUCUCAAUGAACAGGGCACAUUCCGUUGCCUCCCCAUGAACACGACGACGACGUUGUUUCUCUGUUCCGACCCAGCCAUGUACACGAUCCCUGACCGUACGUAUGCGCAAGUAGGCAUUUGAGACCUCGUCCGUAUGUACGUACGUGGCCGUAUUUUCUUUCUUGCACCCUGGCCGUUGUACGUACGUGUACAAGCUACGUGUGCACCUCUACUACGACACGUACGCGCCUCUACUACGACACAUGUGUGCCUCUACAUCGACCAGUAUAUAUGUACGUACACGUUUGCGACCAGAAUGACAACGCUACAUACGCUUCAACCAGGUGGGUCCCGACUGUCAGGCACUUCCUUGCAUGCGAAGAUGUAGCUGGUGGGUCCCAGCAGUCAGGGGGCGAAUCGUUUUUUUUUUGCCCGGACACACUUCCUUGCAUUCGAAGAUGUAGCUGGUGGGUCCCAGCAGUCAGGGGGGCGAAUCGUUUUUUUUCGGACGCACUUCCUUGUGUGCGAAGAUGUAGCUGGUGGGUCCCAGCAGACAGUGGGAAACGUUUUUGUGCAAAAUAUGGUGGCCCGUCCGAUGGGUCCCUGCUGUCAGGUGGAGGAAUAAUUAUUUUGCGCGUAAUAAGGAGGCACUUCCUUGCUGCGGCCGUGGACCUAGCUGUCAGCCUCUCCACGUACAGUCCACGUUCGAUGGAAGCCAUUCCUUGACCACACCGCGCCGAGAGCACCAGGGCGGUGGACGACGGCGAGGCCUAGGAAGGGGACGACGCGGAGCCAAGGAAGACGCGACAGUGGAUGCCCACACGUAGAGGAGUAUGACGGUUUACUCGUUCGGCUGCGGUGCGAGGCUGCCGUCGCCGCAGAAUAACAGGGGGUGUGGGUGCGUAGAGGGAUGGCCUGGCCAGCGGUGGGAGUAGUAGGGGGCGGUGAGGCCUCCGCGGCAUCACAGCCGGCCACGGGCGGCAGGAGCAGGCGGCAUGACCGACGCUGCUUUGGGCGGCUGGAGCAAGAAGACUAGAGGUUGAAGAAGCACUACGGUCGUUGGAUGGACAUCGUACGGUCACUGGAGCUAGAAUCGUUCAUAUAUUGACUAAAGUUGACAAAGGCCUCCGUCCCAGUCAACUUAGUAGGCUCACAAGUCAGCCUCCCACCAAGGUUGGUCCCAGCUAGCAGGGGGGUAUUCAAUUUUUUGUGUGUAAUAAGGAGGCACUUCCGGUGGGUCCGAGCUGACAGCGGGGAGAACGUUUUUUUCGCGAAAUAUGGUGGCCCGUCCUGUGGGUUCGAGCAGUCAGGGGGAAACAUUUUUUUCACGAAAUACUGGUGGCCCGUUCGAUGGGUCCCUGCUGUCAGGUGGAGGAAUAAUUAUUUUCCGCGUAAUAAGGAGGCACUUCCUUGCGGCUGUCGUGGACCCAGCUGUCAGCCUCUCCACGUACAGUACUCUUCCGAUGGAAGUCGGUCGUUGACCACAUUGACCACGCCGCGCCGAGAGCACCACGGCGGUGGAUGACGGCAAGGCCUAGGAAGGGGAUGACGGGGAGCCGGAAAAGACGCGGUAGUGGAAGCCCGCGCGGAGAGGAGUACGAGGGUUCACCGAUUCGGCUGCGGUGUGAGGUUGUAGUCGCCGCAGAAUAACAGGGGGUGUGGGGGAGUAGAGGGAUGCCCUGGCCAGCGAUGGGAGUAGUAGGGGGCGCUGAGGCCUGCGCGGCAGCACAGCCGGCCACGAGAGGCGGGAGCAGGCAGUCCCGCUGGUAGCUGCUUUGGCGGCCGGAGCAAGAAGAUUAGAGAUUGAAGAAACACGACGGCUGUUGGAUUGAUAUCCAACGGUUACAUCUGCUAGAAUCGUUUGUUGACGUAGUAUAUAAUAACUAAAAAAAUCUUGCAUACGCGUCAACUAAACUGGCCCACAAGUCAGACCACUCCCUCUUUUUUUAAUAAUGUAUAUAUAGCUCAUGGCAACUUCUUAUGCAAUUUAUUGCAGUCAUUUUUUUUGGUUGGCCAGGGCCAAUUUCGCAUAUUUCUGUGGGUUCCAAAUGAUUUUUAAUACCGAAAUGUCGAGCCAGAUUUAAAGUACUUUGAACAUAUAUUUAAAUUAGGUUAAUGCCCAGUGAAAUAGGAAUCUGAAAAUGUGAAAAAAAUUAGAAAUUAUAAAGUAAUCGUCAAUUUGUCAUCUGUUUUUAUAUUUACAACCCAUUUCAUAUUACUUUCAAGAUUUGCAGGCGUUUUGAAAGAGUUGCAGCCCAUCAGGGUGUAGAAAAAUAAGUAAGCCUGGAUUGGGUAUUUUUCAGAAAAAAUAAACUGGGCUCAUUUUCACAAAGAAAAAACAGCUGGGUUGGUCACAUGGUGAACAUAAAAUAUAAGCCUGGGCUAGACAGGCCACGGCCCAGUUCAAACCCUGCUCCGUCUCAACAAUACCAAACAAAAAAAUAUACUGCUCGAGUAGCUAUGUCUCAGGUGUCAGCCGAUCUUGUGAUGUUCUCUUGUCUAUUAACUAUAUAGGCUCACAAUGUCGUGGGUCCCAGAUGUCAGGAAAACACUAGGAGGAAGCAUUUUAUUUUUCCAUACGCUGACGUGGUGGGCCCCUACUGUCAUCCUCUCCACGUACUUCUGCCGAUUCCUGUUGUUUGUUGACCAUGUUGACAACGCGAGAGGGCGGCGCCGCGGCGAGUGCACCAAAGCGCGCGGAGGACGUCGGCGUUAACGAUUUAGGAGACGGUGGGGCGGCGAUGCGUGCGCUGAGGCGUAGCCAGCCAUGGGAGGCGGAAGCAGGCGGCCCCGCCGGCGCUGGUUUGGUUUUGGCGGCUAGAGGUAGAUAGGACUGAAGAAACAUGACAGACUGUAAAAGCCGCAGGAGUACUUGACAACCUUAACUAAAACCAGCAGGGGCACUUAACAACCAAAGCUGAAAGCAGUAUGAGUACUUAUACAUGUUCAACCGUACAGAGCAUGCUUCAAACAGUGCUACUUUGCCUAUAGUUAACCAAGGGUGAGGCCGCCAAGCCCCAGGACAAGGCCCAGGCGCCACCCCGCGCAUCCACAACCUUCUGAAAGCGGCUUCAUCUCGCAACGUGGUCAAUAAACAGGAUAUUCGCUUUAGAGCCAUGGAAAAGCAUGAACAUAAUCUUCUGUCCUAUUCUCCAAGAUGGACGGGCCUUCAUUAUUUGAGACCACCCAUGAAUAAAUAUCUUUUCACCUCCAAGGGGAAUUGAGUAGGUCGACAUAAACAUCAUGUUGUGACCAAGCGCAAGUCUGACCCGACCAUGGUCAGGCAUCUGUAUAGGAACAAUAGAACUCGGCAGUUCCUAUUUCAAGAAGAUCACAGCUGUAAAACUGUGUAUAAGCAAUAGUUUAUGAACAACAUAUAUAAUAGAAAAUAGCUCGUACCAUAAGUUUCUCGACACAUUUGGACCUAUUCAACGAGUGCAACAGUGGCACACAUAUCCCAUGUGGCCUUCCACCAUUGAAACGCCCACAAGGACCUCAAGACGAUCAAUAAAGUGUAGGAACUUGUGGAUGUCAAUCCAGUCAACUUCAGUGCCAUUAGUAACAGCUGAAUUGUUACAGAGUAACAAACGAGCAGACUGCUUAACUCUGAAAAAACCUACACGUGCCACCAAGUAUAAGAAAAUAUUAGUUAGAAGUAGCAUCUUCGUGAGAGAUUCGUUGCUACUUCUAAAGUUAAAUUGUGAUUAGUUAGAUAGAAUAGGUGGAUUAAGAAGUAAUUGAGGCAACAAGCAAGAAACAGAUACAAAACUAACAUGGAUGAACAAUUGGAACUACAUCGGGGUGGAAGAUCACAGUGAAGAUGAGACCAGGUUCUGCUAUUUCCAUCAACAUUCGUGCGCCAACUUUCAGUCCGUAACACUUGAGAAAGUUUAUCCAAGUUCGGCCAUAAAAAAAGCAGCGAUCUUCUUGGUUCAUGAACCCAACUCGGAAGUAAUAUCCAUGGCUUGUCUUCACUGUGAACAUUAAACUAGUGUAUUCAGUUAUGAAAAGGCCGAGCAUCUUGAGUACAUGUGUUCUGGCAGAGCAAAUAAUACACUGGAGGAAAAUAAUAUGAGAACAUAGCAUGUUAAAAAAAACCAACCCUCCCGGAUAGAAAAGAGGAUUCUAGGAACAUACUGUGCGCGUUUCAAAAUGUUCUGUUAGGAUGAGAAGGAACAAGUGUGGAGUCUCGCCCAGGGUGCAGAAAUCUGUAGGGUACUCGCAUUUUGGGCACUGCAACUGAAACACACUAGAUUCAGUACGAAGAAAAAUGCAUCAACGGCGGCGGCUGCCAUCCUAGGAUUACCUGCGACCAAGGGACUUGGAUUUAUCGGGGAUGGAUGAAGAAUUCGUACCUAGUUCUCCAUGAGAAAACCCUAUGCAAUCGCCGAGCGGGGGUUUUCUCUGAACAAGCAGACGAGGGAGAAGGGGAUUCAGGCCCAGUGAAAUAUUGCCGCUUCGUCCAUCUAGCUUAUUGCUAAAGCUGGAAAGGGGGGGUUGUGAUUUGACGGCUCAUUGGGCUUUACUGCGGUGCUACGACCGGGGUGUGUCUACCAUGAAGUUGUGCACUCUAAUUUGUGCAUAUGGCACGUGGACCCCGUUGCCGGUUGCCCCACAUAUCAGCGAAAGGAAGUAGAAAGACAGGAGUAACUAGUUACACAUAAAUAUAUAUUUUGACAGAGAGAUACUCCCUCUGUAAAGAAAUAUACAAAUAUUUUAUAUCACAGGCUCACCUUGCCGAGAAAUAUACUAACUCUGCAAGCACGGGCAUUAUGGGGGUUCAACUUUUUUUAUGGGGGUUCAGCUGAGAGUAUAAUACUCAGAUAGGCUCAUGGUUCUGGACUUUGGGCAGCAGGCCGACCUACAUGUUUGGGGGGCCAUGUGUUCUACCUCAGCGCUUUUCAUAUUGCAAGCAAUCGGUACGGCGCUGGUUUUAGAUGUUGUCGCAAGGCGAAUACACAAAAUUGAAUAAAGCACGGCAGCUGUUGGAAUGAAAUCGAACGACAGUUCCUAACCAGCAAUCAGAGUUGCAAUUCUAUCAACGAUAUACCAUGUGAUAAAUAAUAUUGUCAUACUACUUAUACACACAGGACACUUGUUUCACCAUGCCAGAUUAUUACAUCAAAAUCUCAAGGAGGAUAGAUCAGUUCGGCAGUUGCGUGCUGCUACUGAAGAAUUUCAAAGUUGAUUCGGACCAGCUCUCCUUGCCGAGAAAGUUCGAUUUUGACAUCAUCCCCUACCGCAAGAUAUGGAUUUAGAUUUGAACCUUGACCAUCCUUUAGUAUCAAUCAUCAUGCGACCAUCCUUUGUACUUACGGUAUAUUGAGCAGGUUCAUUCACGCCAAGCAUGCGCAUGGUAAGAGAAACUUGGCCGCGGUCGCCCGGAUUGUUGAACGACUCCCUCGUUGCUCUAGGAAUUCUCUGUUUGGAAACAAGAAGACAUACCCAAACAGUUAGAUCAACACAGUGAAUCAUGUGAAACAACAUGGAAAGAAAAAAGAAUGAAGCACUUGGGCGGCCAAUGCUUACCAAGAAGGUGGACAUGUCGGUUUUUGUAAGGACUUUGGUAUAUGAAGUGCGAACUGCAGCCCAGUCUGUUGCCGGUGCAACUGCACGGGCCGGAUCAGAUGCAAGUGCAAGUGUUGGUGCAGGUGACGAAGCCGCUGCUGCUGCCGGAGAUGGUGCUCCUUGUAGAGCUGGUGCCGGUGUCGGAGUAGGUGCCGAUGUCGAUGCCCGAUCCUCCGGUAGAUCAGACUGGUCCGCUAAUGCGGUCGGUGCCCAAUCCUCAGCUGGAUCAGACUGAGCUGCUGCCGCUGUCAGUGCUAGAGCAACUGCCGGUGCUCGAUCUGUGCGAGACAGCGGCCAUCGUGUCUAGUCUGCUAUGAUCAGCUUUCUAACUUGAUUAGGAUUCGUGACCGUGAUCCAGUUUUUUUCUUCAUUUCUUUUAAACGCGCGAAGGACUAAUUGUGACGUUUUGUUAAACCAAACUACAGUUCAUCAUAGGGAUUCAGCUUGUACUCAGACAACAGACUGAUCCAAUUUUUUCCAGUAAUAUAAGUGAUGGACAGUGCCUUCUUACUGACACGACAUAAGAAGUGAAACCUGCAAAAAUAGCCAUCGUAGAGCAAACCAAACAGUUUAUUCUAUGAUGAAUGUCACAUGGCAAAACCUGCAUCGUAAAAUUGCAGGAAAAGAAAGAAAACAUGACAUUAAAUCAAUAAGAUUUAGAUAGUAAAUCAAUAAGAUUUACAUGAUGUGACAUUAGUGAAUCCUUACCAGGAAAUCCGUAUGUCGAAGUACUAAACAGAAGAUUGAUCGUCCAACUACGCGUGGCAUGCAGGGGCCCCGCCUACUCCCACAAGCAGGAAAGUCCAAAGGUCGUGACAAAUCAUAUGGACCCAACAUCCAUGGGACUGGAAAUCCUGGUGGGUGCGAUAAACCCUACAAUGCAUACAGAUAUUGGAGUGUAACCAUAAUUGAUAAACCGUCCUCACAAAAAAUAUGAUCUGGAUACUUCAAAAUGUACAGACUGAAUUGAGUGGACAGAUAUUAACAUAUACCGUUCUCAGGACUGACCACACACCAAAAGCGGCAGUACUAAUAAACAAUACAGGGUUCACAAACACAAAUCAAGUAUUGAACAAUAGUACUUACUACACACAAGCAAAGUUGCACUAACUAAACUCUGCAGACUAUUUCUUGCCACCGACAUACGGGAUGAACCCCGCAUAACUGACUAGGCCAUGGACUUUGUGUGAGAUGUCUACAUGCACCAUCACCAUCUUGUCAACCUUGGAGAACCUAACAGGGUGGUCUUUCCACUCAUAAACAUGAUGAUGAAGAUAGGCCGCAUCAGAUUUGUUGGGAAGCUUUACAAGAACCACACCCUUCGUAAUCUAAGGCACAGUCCGGAAAUUGUUGUGUUCAAGUACAGCCUCGAGAACACGCCUGACAACAAUGCUACAGGAAAACACUAAUUCAGGACACGUGGCGACAAGGACAUAACAGCUGGAUAGUUCAGCAGUAGAACUCAUCACCAGGUCUUCCCGUUCACACGGCAUGACUUUGAGAACUUCAUCUCCAUCGCAGACCUGGUUCUAAUUCAAACAAAAACAAUAUUUUAUUACUACCUCCGUUCAGAAUUAUAAGAUGAUUUUUGAUAUUAUACUCCAUAUAUGACUACAUAUAUGCACAGAAAUGAGUGAACAAACACACUAGAACAUGUCUUCAAAGGCAUGAGAGCAGAGGGAUUACAUGCAAUAUCCAUAACACAAGUUACUGAAGCAAAUAUACCCUCUUAAAAGGUAGCAUUGAUGUUCAUAAAGUACUCCCUCCGUCCCAAAAUUCUUGUCUUAGAUUUAUCUAGAUACAGAUGUAUCAAGUCACAUUUUAGUAUUAGAUACAUCCGUAUCUAGACAAAUCUAAGACAAGAAAGUUGGGACAGAGGGAGUAGUUGAAAGUAAUCUAUAAGAAAUCAGUGUCAACCUCUCGCAUGUUUUGGUCAAAAUAGGAAUUUAGAACCGUCAUUUGGCACACUAAAAUCACAUGCAGGAUCACCCAGAAAGUUGUACUACCAGUACUAGUACUGCGUGUUAGAUGAAAAAACACGAUCAAGAUCGAGAAAAAGAUCAUCAACAAGAGACAUUACCUGGACUUGCUUAAUGAGGGAUCCCGGAGAGGGGGGCUUGGACUGGACGAUGGCUUUGAGCUUGUCUGCGGUAGUCUCGGCGGGGUGCUUGUGCUUCUUCGUACCAUGAGCCUCGACGGUUUUGGCCAGAGCCAUAGACAUCACGUCGGCCGGUGCUCCGGCGUCCAUCCAAGAGAGGAAGCUAAGAGAGAAGAGUGAAAGGAGGAACGAGAUGAGGGAGAAGCGAAGCGAGUGGGGGUUUUCUUCAAGAGAGGAAGCUGAGAGAGAAGAGUGAAAUGAUGGUUGCUUCGUCCGUCCAACUUACUGCUGGAAAGGAGGGGGUUUUGUGAUUUGACGGCUCAUUGGGCAUUACUGCGGUGGUUCGAUCGGGGUAGUCUACCAUCACUCUACUACGGAGUAAUUUAGUGCAUGGCUGGUGGACCCAGGUGCUGGCUGUCCCACACAUCGGCGAAAGUGAGUAAUUUAGUGCAUGGCUGGAGGAGGAUCUACAUGGUAGAGCGUGUCCACUGUUUUUCAUUCUGAAGAAAAAAAUGAUUACAGCAAGCGUUUCCACUCUUACGACGGAGGAGUGCGGAACACGACAGCCACUUGAACAUACACAGUGCUCCUACUACUAGGCAUGUGCAGUGGUUCAUACGUCAGUACUACACAAUCUUGUUGUUAGUGUAGUAAGAUAUGACGAUAACAAAUGAUGUUGUGCGCAUGUCAACUACUCCUAUAUGUAACAUAGUACCACUUUUUCGACUGUCCGGUCGAGAAUGAACGGUGAGAUCAAUGUUAACAGAACUAGGUCCACAGCGCACGGAGAGUAUGGUUCUACAGUACUCCACGAAACAUGAACCAUAUAAAGCACAAAUAGUGUUAGACAGGGUGUAUGAAGGGUGCACGGGAUGGGAGCAAAAGUUCCCUUCUCGACCCACUUUUGGGUGUUUGGCAGAGUGCAUGAAGGGUGCAUGAGUCCAUACUAGUAGGUUGACAAAAAUACACGAAGAGGAAACAACUAUAUUGAGAUGAGAAUGCAACCAAACACACCCACACGCUUUGUGCUACUGUGACUGAUCUGCAUCGUCUGAGUUUGAUCUAACGGUCAUGUUGCGCCGAUACAUGGACAUGCCCAUGUAGAGGGCGCCUAAACACCACCAAAGUCCCUCUGCUUCUCGAGGCGCAUGACAUUGGUGAUGCAGGAUGCAACCGCCCAUAGAGCCCGCUCCCGGUCGACGAGAGUCAGCUCGUCAAAGACGGCGUCCAAUGGCACGAAUGGAUUCCGGUAACGGAGCCCUAAAAGUAUUUGCCGGGCAACGGCGACGGCAGCCCGCAACCCCUCCUUGUCCAGCUUAGCCCCCACCAUCGCGCGGAGACGGCUCAGCUCCUCGGAGAUAUAGUCAAGAAGGAGAACAGGUCAGGAAGCCGCAGCUCGUUGAAGUCGACCGGGUGGUCGAACGGGUUUAGCCCGACGGCCGGCAUCGUCGCACUGGCACGAUGGUAGGCAUCGUGCAGCCGCAACACGUGUGUGGCAACUUGGUUCACCAAGUGGCUGAGGCGAUCCUGGACCUCGUCACGAUCAGCCUGCUCGCGCUCCAGCCGGCUCCCCUGACAGCCUAUCAUAUCUCCUGCUUUCUGCAGCAACGCUGCCAAUGCCUCGAGCAUCUUUGUGGUGGAUGCAUACCGCUUUUGAAGCUCCGUGAACUCCCACACAUAACAGAGGAGCAUGGCACUCCUCUCCUCCUUGAGCUCAUAGAGCUCCACAUCCUUGGCCCUGAGCUCAGCAUCCUUGGCAUGGAGAUCCUGUGUCAGACGCCUCACCUCGGACUCCGUGAUCUGCUGCGCCGCCAUGGCACCAGGUAGAAGCAAUGGGGAGAGGAAGCAAAGGGGGCGAAACAGCUGCAAGGCAAUGCAAUCUACGGCAAGGCGGAGGGAGCCAGCCGAGGAGCGGGGAAUCUUUUGGUUUUCACCAUGGUAAAACACUAGUCGACGACUUCUCACAUCAGGGAGCAGUGGGUUUUUACAGGCGGAGUCAUCGUGACUAAUUGCUGCCGGGCCUGCUCCCAUCAAUCAAAAAAUUAAAAAUCUUGUCGCGCCUGCUCCUGUCAAUCAAAAAAUUAAAAAUCCUGCCGCACCCAAACACCAGAGCAACGCUGCGGUGGAUAUUUAAAUUUACCUGCCGGCAAGUAGAUAAAAAAAGGGGUGAAAAAACAAAUGUGGCGGCGACCUAGCUAAUUGGUCGAACUAGCCCAACUAGCUAGCCACCGUGCUUCACUGAUGUACUCGGCGGGAAAGGUGGUCUUUUGUGAUUUGACGACUCAUUUACUUGCUUCGGCGCUACGACCGAGGAGGACCCAAAAAACGCGUGGUAGGGCGUCCCACGUCAGGAAGAAUAUAUGCGUGCACCACCCGGGAGGACUGCGAAACCGCGCGGUAGGGUGUGCCACAUCUCGGCACAGAGGAAAAUGUGCGUGUAAAAAUAUACUGUAUCAGACGUAGUACCUAUGGUUCGACCUUGGGACCCAGUCAGUCAGUCGAAAACACCCCACUAGCCACACAGCUUCAACAUGCAAACGUGGCACGGUUAGCUCCGUCUCGACCAGCCACAACGUCUCUUGUUCUAGGCGAUUCUUCUAUUUUCCAAGCUUUUUUUUUGGUUGUAAUAACACCACAGCAAGCUAGCGCCGCUCUUCGUGUGCGCUCGUGCAAAGGUUAGACGAUGGAGAGAAGAGAGAUUGAGAUCGCAGACCUGGGACCCACCAGUAAGUGAGACAUCGGUCAUGCACGUGUUGACGAGGCACUCCAUCUACUCUACUCAACGCAAGUACUGUAUAAAAUCAAGUUAUGGGACAAAGCCAACAAUCGUUCGUUUUUUCAGGCUAUCGACUUAUGCUUUGUAGUCCAGGUUACUAGUUCGAAUCUCGUCUUUCAGAUUUGUUAGUUUUAGGUCCAAUUUGAUUAAUGACAAGUGGGACCCCCGUGUGUUGUUCCGAUAUUUCAGUGUAGGAUGGUUUUUUUGAACAAACACUUUGCGCGGUUAGACAAGUAACGGCAUGAGUUACACGUAUUUUGCAAGUUUACGAACAAAAAUGACAGCGACAUAGAAUAUCACAUCCACCCCGCAACUUAGAUACUAUGGUGAUACGAGUUUUUACACCGUUGGAAGUGAGAUCCAAUGGCUUGGGAGUAGUCUUUGUAAUUAUGCGCAAUUUCCAAACUCUCCAAAGGUUUUUUUGCAAAUAAAACAUUUAGGCCUCAUGUGUGCCGCUGCAUCUUCGAUCCAACGGCUCCCCGGUGCUCAUAUUAGGUGCUCCCCAUAGCUUAAUUACCCGCUACGGUGAUAUGAGCAUCUAGGUUGUAUGAUCAGUGAUCGGAUGGCACAUGCGUAGUACUUGUACUUUCUGCGCAUUUCCCAAACUCUAUCAACCGUAUAUUGCAAAAACAUUCAAACCUCCUACUGUGGGCCGUUAGAUCUCAGUGAACUCGUAUCACCAUAGAAUCUAUGGUGCGGGAGCACCUCAUACUCUCCCGUGCGAGAAAACAUAAGGUGUUAUCGCAGCUUGGAUGCUACGGUGAUAUGAGCUUGCAGGUCGUUUGAUCUGAGAUCCAAUGGCAUCUAAGCAGUCUUUGUGCUUGUAAGCAGUGUCCGAACUCUUUUGGGGCUUUUUUGUAAAAAACCAUUUGAACCACCGAGGAGGUGUUGGGUCACAGAUCCAACGCCUCCGAAGAGCUUGUAUCACCAAAGCAUCUAAGGUGUGGUAGCACAUGAUAUUCUUACAUACAGGAGAAUAUGAUGUCCUCCUUCAUCUUAGAUGCUACGGUGAUACGAGCUUCGAGGUCGUUGGAUAUGGGAUCAAAGGGCAUCUAAGUAGUUUUUGUACAAAUUGUGUGCAAUUCUCAAACUCAUCAAGGUUUCCUGCAAAAAAAUUAAGACACAUCAUGUGAGCUGCUAUAUCUCAGAUCUACAAGCUCCAAGCAACUCGUAUCGGCAUAUAGCAUCUAAUGUAUGGGGGCACAUGAUAUUCUCCCGGGGAGGAGGGGUGGGGGUGCACAACCAAUCAGUGGUUGGGAGGGUGGGGACAAAUAUAAUCUAAACAACCCUAAACAGAGCUCCACAAUUUUAUCUAAGGUCGAGGGGUUGACCCCCCACAAUCAUAGCUCCGCCUAACCACAACAUUUGCAUGUACUGUAGUACUAGACUUAAUAUUCAUGUUUCAGUUUCAUGUUCAUUUUAAAUAUUGAACUGAGGACCAUGGAUGUCUUACAUUUUACUCCCUUCGUUCCUAAAUAUUAGUCUUUUUAGAGGCUUCAAAUGGACUGGCACAUACGGAUGUAUAUAGACAUAUUUUAGAGUCUAGAUUCACUCAUUUUGCUCCGUAUGUAGUCACUUGUUGAACUCUCUAAGGGCAUCUCCAGCGUUGGCCCCCCAGGAGGGGCAAAAAAUCGCCCCUGGGGGUGCACCGGCGCUAAACCGCGCACUGGGGGCGUGAUGCCCCCCAAUCGCGGCGCCCACGGUUAGUCAAAAAAGUCAAAUACGGUGCAAAAACGACUCAAAUUUAACGCAAACAUCGGCGAGUUCAUUCAAACUUAAACAUAUUUUACAAAAAAAGAAAAAAACUACCGCGGGCUACCCCCGUCGUCUCCCUCGCCGCCCGCCUCGCCGCCCGCCCACGCGGUUCUACAUGCCGAGGAGGCUGUAGAACCGCGUGUAGUCACCGCCGUCGUCGUCAUCGUCGUCAUCAUCGUCGCCCACGCCUACGCCUCCAUCGGCCCUGCUGCAUCCCUCCCCCGGUUGGCGCGGCGGGUUGGACGGUCCGGGGGCGUCGUCGUCGUCGUCGUCGCUGUCGAGGACCAUGACGUCGUGCUCGUCCUCGCGCCCACGCUUGCGGGCGGCGAUCUCCUCCAGGGCCCGGCGCUGCCGGACCAUCUCGUCGCGGAGGUAGUCGUCCCACGCCCACCGCAUGGCGUCCUCGUCGGAGAAGCCGCACCGGGCUAUCUCCUCGUACUCCGCGGGGAAGCCGGGCUCCGGCUUGGGCUCGACGAGGACGAAGUGGCCGGUGGGUGGAGAGGCGUUGGCGCCGAUGCGGACGCCGGAGCUGCGGGUGCGCGCGCUGACCGGCGUGCCCUGGGGCUCCGGCUUGACGGGGCGGAGGCAGGGCGAGCCGCCGGAGGAGGAGGAGGACCCCCCGGUCUCCAUGCGCCUCGGGGUCCAGGAGCUUCCCCGGCGGCGUGAGAAGGAAGGGGGAGCGGGGUACUCGAGGCGCGGCGUGUUGCCGCCCUCGAUGUACUCAAGGACGGCCUCCAACGUGCGCCCGGGCACGCCCCACCACCGACGCCGGCCGGCGGCGUUGAGCCUGCCGGAGGGCACGACGCCGUUUGUGGCCUCGAGCUGCUGGGCGUGACGGCGGCGGAAGUAAGGGUCCCAGAGCGGGCUGUCGGGGACGUACCGUGGCCCCUCCCUCGCCGCACGCGGCAGGUUCGAGCGGAUGCGUGCGAUCUCCGCACGCCGCGCCGCGCCGGUGGGUACCGGGGGCACCGGCACGCCGCCCGCGCUGAUCCUCCAUGCCCCGGGCACCCGCAUGUCCGCGGGACCGGGUACUCGGCCUCGUAAAGGAGGCGAGCCUCGUCUUCAUGAAGAUGGCGGCGGCCGAAGCCGUUCGCCGCCGCGCCGUCGCUGGGAAGCGCUCGGCCACGGGUGUGAACUAGAGACGGCAAAAGAAAGGAGAGGAGAGGGAGGAACGACGAUGGCGGGAGAGUGUGAGUCGCCGAGUGCGCCGGGGCGCGUCAUAUAUAGGCCGAGGCGCGCGUGCCACCGUGUGUACGCGUGGCGGGCGAGGGAGGGCGAGGGACGCGCGUCGUCCGGUCUUCACUGCGCCGCCCGUGAGGCAUCAAUGGUGCAUGCUGACCGGCGCGGCAGCGCGCGACAGCUUUGGCAUUGAUUCGCCGCGGGAAACGAGGCGAUGAGGACGACGAAGGGCCGAGAAGAGAGCCGUGUCGCUGAUGCGGCGGGCCUGCGGCUUUUUCGCGCCAAAACAGUUCACCCGGCGUCCCCGGGCGCCCCCCAGCGCGCCGGGUUCGGGCUGGGUCCGCCGGCGCUAUUUUCGGCCCAAGCCGGCGAAAAUCGGGCUCCUGGGGGCGCGACUGGGCCGGUUUUUUGGCGCCGGCACGAAAAAAACGCUUGGGGAGGCCUUCCUGGGGGCCCGACUGGAGAUGCCCUAAAAGACUAAUAUUUAGGAAUAGAAGGAGUAUUUUUGAAUUCGUGUCAUACAUGCAUGGUUUGGAAAAAUAGAUGCACUAUACUUAUUGGAUUGUUGUUGUGUUCGUGCGUAUGUGUCUGUGUGUGUGUGUGGUCAUAUGGUUGAUACAUACAAAGUUUUCAAACCUCCAUAUUGUUCAUCUUUUAAAUUUGAAUUCGCAUUGGAAAACUUACUAGAGAUACCAUGAAAUGUGAAAUCCAUGUUGAGAUCACUACAUCACAAACUCACUCUAAUUUAACAACUCGUCAUAAAUCAAUUACCACGUUGAGAUUAGUAUUUGCAAGGAAAAUACGGGUAUUGUAAUACACAUAGAUUCGUUCGGCAAUUUAAAAGGUUCCUUUCGUAUUCUCGAAUGGUAGGACCCAACGGCGUACCAGCCAGACCUUGGCUCGUGUUGAUCCUAAAAAAAUCGGGCUUGUGUCCUUCGGUGGCGUGCGUGGUAUGCACAUUAGGCAACCCAAACCAGUCGAGCCUCAGCGUUUCAAGUCGAAAUAUCUGGCAGCCAGAAUUCCAGCCCUAGGAAAUUCCCCUCAUGUCCCCAGUCCAUAAUGACUACCGAUGAACAACGGAGGGAUGCUUUAAUAACUAGACAACGUUACCUACCGUGCCGAGCAUGGUUCAAUUCCCUCGGUCGCCGCUCGUCAAGGUCACCCAUCAACUGCAUUGCCUAGUACUACUACUACUACACCAGGAUGAGCACAGAAUUGAGCCCGUUUGUUCGUGCCUAGUACUUGAGUUAAUAUAUCAGGCAAUGCACUGGUGCGGAGGAAUUGUCCUUUUACUCUGCAUAUAUAACUUGUCUGUAGUCUAAAUAAGCAAAAUGUUUGACCAAAUCCUUUCUUAAGAAAUACAAUAGGACAGAUGUACGACUUGAAAAUUUAUUGCAUGAUGCAGGUUAUGAUAUUGUUUCAAAUCCUGGAUCUUAAAUUUCAGAAAAUCUAAAAGUGAGCAUAAAUUCUUGAAACUGAGCAUGGUCACGUGAUAUGGCACAAAUAUUACUUCGUAAGUUUUUUCUUCAAUUCGAGACAAGCUACUUAUGACAAGUUGCACAAAUGAAGAGCCAAGGUAUUUUGGAACAAAGACCUGUCACGUUAAGGCGAACGCUUUCAAUAUUGAAACCGUGGGCGUUUACGUGCCGCCACGAGUCCCCGCUUCUCAUCGGCAGGUGCCUCCCAGCAAGCAUGUGAGUCGAUGGGUGGCGUGCGAGCAGACCGAUACGCCGGCUGUCAGGGAGGCGUGCGAGCAGACCGCUGUGCAGACUCACCUGGAGGCGAGCCCUUUGACCAGGCUCCGCCGCCCACCGUCGUCCCAACUGCUCCCACUUUUAAUGUCGCCGGCGCCACAGUUUAAAAUCAACCCCGCACUACCCGGUAUCGCUACAAUCCUCUCUCUUCCUCUCCGAUUCUCCUGUCGUCUACCUCCAACUAGCCUGACCUAAACGUACGCCAUGCCGCAUCACGAUAGUCUGCCCUUAGUGUUCCAGUUUCAUGAGGAAGACACCCAGCCGGAGUCUCAAGAACAUAAGGCACUUUGGGACGAGCUUGAACUGGCCUUGCGGGAAUACACCGCGCCUGUCCCCGCUCCCGUUCCAGCUCCCGUCGCCCCGACUGCGCCAGCGCCCAUCCCCGUGGCAUUGAUGGGCUGGGAGCCGCACAUUGUCGCCGAGCUUGAUGCCACGGGGUUCCACGAGGUCCCCGCCGACUUUCACGCGCCCGUGCACCUGCCAGCGCAUGCGCCUGCGCGUGCACUGAUGCGCACGCCCAUGCCGGUGACCGUGCACCUGCCAGCACGUGCGCCUGCGUCUGCACUGACGUGCGUUCCCGUGCACAUGAAUGUCUCUGCCGCGCCGUUGACAGCGCAUGUCCCCGCGCGGGUGCCAGUGCCCCCCUCAGCGGCAUGGAUGGCCGCCGUCGACCGCUUCCUUGCACCAACGCCAGUCGCCUCCUCCCACCAGUUGACUCGCUCCGAAGUCCAGAACAUUUUGGCCUUCCUUGAAGCUAGGCCAACGUCCAAGAGUACACCAACAAUGGCGCAAGACGCCGCCGUCGCCGUCGGUCAGUGGCCCGACGACACACAGAUCACGGCAGAGGAUCUGCUUCCCACCGCGAGACGCCCCCCCGCCGCCGCGUAAUCUAAAUUUGCCAUGAAAAACGUUCGGAUUGCCAUGCUUAAAAUCCGAACGUUUAUCAUUUCCGUUUAUUUUAUAUCGAUCGUCGUAUAAUUUAAAGUCGGAGUCAGACUGAACGAAAUGUGUGGUUUGAUCGAUUGAAUGUUCUGCUAGAGUCGUAUCAAAUUAAAUAUAAAACGUCAUCAAGCCACAUGUAUUCCUUGUCAUCCAACGACCUAGACUUCUUCAAUGUCGAGCGCUCAACACGUUUAGCGUGCAGUUAAUUUCAUGCCAAAAAUAGUGCUAAUCACAUGACAACACGCAAAUAAUAUCCUAGUAGUUAAUAUCCGCAUGCACUUAAUAUACUUCCAAAUUAACAUGCAUUGCACGUACACACUAACUAGUGCUGCUAGUACGUGAAACUGGUGCAGUGACUUGUGAACGCGUCCAGAUAUGGUCAACGGCAACAUCGCCCACGAGUUCUUCCUAUUUGCCCUUGCGUCUAAACGCAGAACGGGAGGAGAGAGAGAGGGCACACAUGGAACCCACCAGUAAGUGAAGGCGAAUAGUACUAAAAAUAAUAUUACAUGUUAUCCAUUAAUUAGGUUGUGGUAAUAUAAAAACAUUAUGUGAACAAAGGGGGUACAACAAACAUUGCUACUCUACGUAUAUGUUGCCUAAUGACGUGUGGCUUCAAGGCCCGGUCGCAUGUUCGAUCCUCGUCCUUUAUUUUUUAAUUUGUAUAUGGGUCCAAAUUUGUUUCAUGACAUGUGGGCCCCUCGGUGUGUAGUUUGUAGCACUUUAAUUUGUGGAUCGAAAUUUGUUCCAUUCCAAGUGGACUAUCGGUGUGUAGUUUUGUAGCUUAUUUAUAAUAAUUAAAGAGAACAACAUAGUUUUUUCAAUAAUACCAUGGUGCGACGUUGAAGGCAAGAAAGGACAUGUGAGAGAGCGAUGACCGAGCCAGAGGGAAAUCAAGUAGGGGAGUUGCGUGGGUUGCAACGGUGUUUGGAGUAGUUGUGGGCCGAAUGCUACGAAAAUAUAAUCUAAACCGACCGGAAUAAAUGCCUACACAAAUUAAUCCAAGGUUGGAGUGCCCCUCGCAAUGUAAAUAGCUCCGGCUUUGCGAGGGAUGGAGAGGUAGUAGCUUCAAUGCGUGGAAGAUACGGUGUGAGAAAAGCGAGGUCAAUCGAGAGACAUAUAGAUAGAGAGACAAAGUGAGUGUGGUCCGACAUUCAUUGAACAAAUAUAUAUGCUCUCGAGAGAUAUUGUCCGAUUGAGCUUUUGGCAAAGGUGAGGGCUGUAAGAUAGAGCUUGAGAGAUGAUCUAGUCACAGACGUGUAGAUAUAUUUUGUGUGGGGGAGGAAGCAAGGUCAACCGAUCACAUAGGGUCACCGUGCGAUCGAAAGAGUGAAACGGGUUGGAGAGAGUGACCUAGAUAGACAAUGUGCGUGAGAGAGUAUACAAUGUGAAUAGGUCGAAUUGGGCUCAAACAUGGUGAUAUAUCAUUUUUGUCCGAGAAAGAGCGAGGUCAAUCGAGACAUACAGAGAGAGAGAGAUAGAGAGAGAGAGAUUGAGUGAGUAUGGCCCACCAUGAGGUCGAAAGAGUGGCGGCAGCUUGGAUGGACUGACCUAGAUAGACAAUCUGCAGAGUAUAGAUUGUGUCGAUCGAGGCCUGUCGGGGAUAUACCCCGCGAUAUAAACCGCCGGAUGUAUGACCCGGCUAGAGUUUGGCGAUUCACUGGCAACCCACUUGGACAUGGCGGUUUACGGUUCAUUGGUAAUCCGGCAGGCGGGUCAGAGGAGCGACAAGAGCCGGUGGCCCAACGGGCGGUUUAUGGAAGGCCGGAUCAUGCUAUGGUGGGCCAGUUUAAGAGAAAAGGCGUGAGGAAUAUUUACUCUACAAGGAAGACCCGGACUUGUAUCCGGUUUGUAUUAGAAGGGAGACUAGUCCUAAUCCUAAUAGGACUCCACAUGUAACCCGCCCCUUCAACAUAUAUAAGGAGGGGCAGGGCUCCCCAAAGAGGAACAAGCAACAAGCAACAAGAAACAAUCUUAGGGCUAGACACAAAGAGGAAAGCCGGUUUACGGCGACUCCCUCGUGAUGAUAAUGAGACCUAGCCUCAAACAGCAUGUAAGGUUUUUACCGGAUGAUGUUUCCCGGGGCCUGAAGCUGUCUAAAUCCUUGUCUUGCGUGUUGAUCCGCCUUGCGUCUCUCGUCCCACUCAACCCCUCUCAAGCUACCACAUAGAUGCGUUGGCCUCACGACUAAGUCCUGACACUAAGGACAUCCGCCGUGACAAAUCCACGACAGUUGGUGCCCACCGUGGGGCCUGCGCACUGUGGUGUUGAGUUCUUGGAGGGCGUUUUCCUAGGGUUCAAGGAUACGCAAAUCGUUGGAUGAAGAAGAAGAGCAAAUUCAUUGAUUUUUGGAUUAGAUCGGCGAUAAGAACUUUUUUGAGCCAGCAGUAUAAGAUUUGAAAAAUAUUAUGUAUAUUGAUGCUGCAAUUGCGCGACAGCCGGGUCAGGAUCUACUACGCGUGGAAGUCGCUCAGGUCUGCGGCGUUUUUGUUGUUCCGCCGAGCACUGCCACUGGUAGCUGAGACCGAUUGGAUUUUCCGCUGCGGCAAUCAUACCGCAGGAGUACACCGAGGCCGGCUCGAAUUUCCACUGCGCCGCUGUCAAAUUUUAGCCGUCGUGUCCGAGCCGCCGGGUUGUUUUUGCCGCUCUACAUACAGCUGUCCAAAUCCCAGGUGAUCAAAGGCAGUUAAAUACGCGUCACGAGCACCAUCUGUUGGUACGGCGACGAUCAAGACAGUUGCUUCAGCCCCGUGAAGUCUCCAGGUCGACCUAGCACACGCACAGGAAUCAAGGGUCUAGGUGCUGAUUAACACAAAAAACAAAGGCUUGAUGGAUUCCCUAGCUCCUGCACGUCAAGAGGCAUCAACACAUCAAUCAUCAUAACACGUGCUAUGACAAAAUUGCAGCUGUCAAUACAUCAAAUCAUGGGUCAAAUCUGCUGCAUAUUACGUGUGCGUGAAGGACACAAGCUGCAAUCCGCCCGAGCCACCGUGUUCUGGUAUAUUAUUAAAAUUAUGACGGAUGAUACAGCAAACUAUUUCAAGUUCAUGGCACGCACCAGAUCAGCAUUAACCAUCAUGUGGAAACAAGUACGCAAGUUGCAUAUAUGGAAUCAGUACUUUCAAGAAGCUAGCACAUGAGUCAAGUCGGCGCACGAGGCAAAGACGGUGUCGCAAACGCAGAUGUCCGAGUCGUCAAAUCGGUCGGCACGGAAUCGAACAAGAAAUCAGACUCGUCCUCCACAUACCCAAGACUUUCCUACAUCAACAGCGACGGGGUCAUGAGUGCCUUAUCUGGUUAUCCCGAUGGAUAGGUUCCUUCGUCAAAUGCUUGCAUAUUUUGGUCAAAGGGUCAACGGUUUGGGAUGGUCCUCCAACGAUUUAUUACGGGAGUUAUGGAAUUGAUCAAUCGCUCCAUGUGCCGCCUCGAUAGUGACAAGCUGACGCGCACCUUCGCCGACUCGUCGCGGAGUGCAUUCUCAUCUCAAGCAUAGUUUUCAACCGUAGGCAGCCACCUCGUCGCCCUGCCCCUCCUCUGGAGCCAACCGGUGUUGAGCCGCCCCGCGUCACGCUGGCCCUGCUGCCUCGAGUCGCCUGGCCUCUUUCUCACUAAUUCAAUGAGUCGUCGUCGCUCCUGCAUUGAGCCGCCGGCGUCGUCUCCGAGUCGGUCUCGUCUCUACGGCCUCCCCGAGUCGCCGCCAUCGCUAAGUGGCCACCCACGCCGCCUUCUCCACGACCAAGCCGCCUGCAUCAGAGGAAGUACUAAUUACACUGGGAUCGUGAGUUAAAUUUUGAUCCAUGCAAAGGAUCAUCUAUCGUCUGAACGAAUCAGGUGAUAUCCCUUUAACGUAUAUCUUAUUGAUAUAUAUUGCUUUUUUUUUCAAAGAACAAUUACUUUGUCCUUUAAUAUUUUUACACAGGACAAUUUCUAUGUCAUUCACGUGCACGUGUGUCGCGGUCCGGGUUACAUCAACGCGCCGGCCAACUCGCCCGUCCGUGCCACCUUACAACAUCACGGACGACUCGCCCGUCCGCCCUGGCCACCGGUUCAUGCAUCCGCGCCGGUUUACAACGCGGAGGACAACUUGCUCGUCCGCACCGGUUUACCAUGCCAUGGCCGAUUCAUCCGUCUGCUCGCAUGGCCGACUCAUCCGUGAUUGAUUUCAGUUUCACCGUGGUGAUCAUCAACUCCGCGAUGGAUAUUUUUUGGCUAACAUAUCAGGUGAAAUUCAUCCAUUAUAUUUUUAUAUUAUAUAUAUAUAUAUAUAUAUAUAUUAAAAGAGCAAUUACUCUGGCUUGCAAGUUUUCCAAUGCAGGACAAAUUGUCUAUUGCAAAAAGGGAUUGUUAUAUCGCUGAGCUAUUGGAUAACCCAUGCUGGUUUAUAUCGCGAUCCAGUCCGCAUCAAUUUGUCAGGACCGUGCGAAUUACCCAAUAAAGCGUGCACAGGCCGCCGUCCCCUACGGUCCGGUCUACAUCAACAUACGUCCGAUUUACGCAUCUGUACCGGCUUACAAUGCCGCGGCCGAUUCAUUUAUCUGUGCCGCCUCUGAUGUUACGGUCAUCCUUGUCGUCCGUCUCUCGCGGCCUGGUCUACAUCGACAUACCGGGCCGCACCUGUCUGCAUGAGCUGUUUAUUGGAUAUGAGCAAGUCACAGCUGGGGUAGCCCGGUUUUUCUUUCAAAUUGGAGGCAAAUUAUCAUCAACUGCCGUUUGCACUGGAUGGCUCAAUAGGCAGGUGCACAAGUCGUCGCCACUACAGUUUUGGUUAACUUCAAAUUGCCAGUUGGAAGGAACCAUAGGCCGAGUUGCUGACACGGUUCAUACGGGAUCAUUUAUAACUCGCCGCAGUCACCUCAACCUUCUGUGGAUUCACAUCGUGCUGUCAACACCAAUGAUAUACAAGUUAUGUCGGUUUAUAUCACGGUCGAACAUGGAGAAUCUCAAGCCAACUCCUCGAGUCACCUUUGAGACUUGGGGGCUACGAUGACAUAACUCAGCAAAUCUUGCCAGUUUCAGCAAAGUUAAAAACCCAGGACGAUGGAGGGAAAGAUAACCCGGUCCCGGAGGCUACUGUUAUGAAAAUUUAAAGGCUGUCGGAAAAUUUCCGUCUUAGAAAGUAUAUAACAGUUACAAAAACCCGGCUCAGUGAAGAAGUUCCGGAUCAUCAGAAAGGAUUCCGGUUUAAAAUCCGGCUCAAGGGAAGUCAGUCUCACUGAAGCUCUCAAGUAUCCAGUUUACAAUCCGGUUCAAGGGAAAUAUAUUCUCCCACAAAGCUCUCAACUCUCAAAUCCGGUUUAAAAAUGUCCGGUUCAAAAAGGAAUUAACUUCUCACAAGUUCGAGUUGAAAGGCCAUCAGAAAAUUUCCGGCUGAAAAUGAAGAUUCCGGUUUACAAUCCGGUUCAAGGGAAAGAUGUCUCCCACAAAUCCUUGAAGCUCUCAAUAUCCGGUUCAAAAUUCCGGUUCAAGAAGGAUUUAUCUCUUGCAAAAAGUUAAAGGGUGCCAAAGAAGACUUGCUGCCAUGAUGCGCGGUCCAAACAUGGGUAUCAUGCCUUAUUGGCUUAUCAUAUUAUUGGUCACUUGGGGGCUUGGUCGUAUCCGAACCAUAGCCACGCCUCUUGAUCGGCCUAGUGCCAUAACAUCACUGGGGGCCUUGGUCGUGUCCGAACCAACGCGACACCUUUUGAUAGGCGACAGCCACCAGAUCACUUGGGGACAUGGUCAAGUCUGAACCAGUCACGCCUCUUGGUCGGCCUAAGGCCACAAAAUCACUUGGGGGCUUGGUCGAACCCGAACCAUUGCCACGCCUCUUGAUCUGGCAUAUAUGCCACAAAUCAUUUGGGGACCUGGCUGACUUGAACCAUAGCUACACCUUAUUGGGAGCUUGGUCGUGUCCGACCAUGGUAACACCAUCUGAUCGGCUGAGUAAAGCCUCUUUUUGUAAAUGGUCUUAUCAUUGCCUUUGCUUCCAUAUUUUUUCAUAACUGUUAUUUGAUUUUUGUUGCGUUUUUUAAACCGACAACGUUUUAAUCCGGUUCAACUGUCAAUUACAAAUUGACGAAACACGGUCAAAUCUUAAUCCGGAGGCCAUCUGCCCGGUUUGAUUUUCUGUUACCAUCCUAUUGUGGAGUAAACCGGUGUUUAUCAACCCGGCUUGACUUUCAAUUACAAGUUGUCAAUACAGGAUCAAGUUAUAAUCCGGAGACUAUCAGCCCGGUCUGGCUUGACUACGAGUCGCCAGUAUUAUAUAUGGUUAAACCGGUGUUUAUCACAACCCGGUACGGUUUAUCAUCAACCGGCACAGUAUGAAAGGAGUUAUCAUUACUCAAGAUUGGGGUUAUCACUCUUACUACAAAAAGUUGGUAAAACUAGCAAUGUGAUUCAAUAUCACAGGUAUGAUAUAUUUCAUAUUUGAUUAUUCUUAAGUGCAACCUUGGUUAUAAACCCAGGUUAUAUGUUGGGCAUUAUGACCCGUCCGGCGGUAAACCGCCAGGACACUUUAAACUUGUUGUAUGCAGAAACAGGUUGAAUAAAGCAUGAUUAUAAAUCACUGACGUUUGUUAAACCGGCCUGGCUUUCGACUAUGUGUCGCCAGUAUGAUGAUAAAUUAUCCGGUGUUUGUUAAACCGGCCUCGCUUUAAGAUGAUAAGUCGCCAGUAUAUGAUGAAAAAUUAUCCGGUGUUUAGUAAACCGGCCUGGCUUUGGACUAUACGUCGCCAGUAUAUAUUUGGAUUGCGCCAUUGGAAUCAUGUGCUUAUAAAUGAUUGGGUUAUAUUAUUCAAAUAGCCAAAUUUGGCUGAAUUUUCAUUAUGAUAUUGGAUGAAUUUUUCAUACAGGAUUAUAUUAUCUUGAAUAGCCAACAUGGCUGGAUUUUUAUGGUUAUUAGUAACCGGUAUUAUUGAGUUUUCAAAGUCGCUUUAGCGCAACAGUUAUUAUUUUAUCAAAGGAUAUGAUUUAUUCUACAAUGGAAGGAAUAGUCCCGAGUCGCUGCAGGCUCACGACCCGGCACUUGGGGGCUACAUUAUUCAAAUUGAGAUUACAUGCAAGUCUCAUGUCGCUGCAAGCAUGCACCAUGACACUUGGGGGCUAAUGCAAAGUAAUUUUCUGCUCAUAUUAUUGAAGACCCGACUCAUCACAUUAUAAUGAGUCAGCCCUUGGGGGCUACCAAUUGCUCCUGUCAACAGUUGAAGGUACAAAGCUUUUUAUUCAUUAUAUUGAAGAGUCCACUGCUCAGUUGGUAAAGCACAAGGCUCUUAACCUUGUGGACAUGGAUUCAAGUCCCAUGAUGAGGGUUACAUCAUAUGAUGUUAUUUUCAUUGAAGUAUAUAUUAAAGUCCCAGCUCAAUAUUAUCUUACUGAGCCGGCCCUUGGGGACUACACAUCAUUGCUCAAAUCUACAUGAUUAUACCUACAAAGUCCCUGCUCAUUAUUGCAUAAUGACCCGGCUCUUGGGGGCUACACUGGUUGAAGUUUUUAUGAGUAUAAGACAAUUGCAAGUCCCAGGUUGCUGUAAGCAUGAUAACCCGGCACUUGGGGGCUACAUAGUAUGGAGUAUUCAGUUUUUACUAGUCACUGGGAUGAACAACAUGGAUUUCUUCUUAAGUGGCAGUAUUUAUAUUGAAGCAAGUCUUAAGCCAUCACUUUGUUCUGCUCAAGACUUGGGGGCUACAAGUAUUAUAUUAUUAUCGAAGAACUAUUUUCAAAUUCUCUGUUUUGAGCAAACUGGAUUAACCCGGUGUCACUAAUCAUUAUGACCCUGUGUUUGUAACCCGGCGUCGUCAAUAAUCAUGAACCGGCAUUAGCAACAACCAUGAACCGGUGUUGGCAACAAUCAUGACCCGUAAUUAUCAGUUUUUAUAACCAGACAAUGGUGGUAAUCAUAAACCGGCAAGUUUUACAUCUUCAAGCCGGCUGGAUAUCAGUUGAAUAUUUCAGAGACUAAUAUAUUUGUCAAGUCAAAGCAUUGAAGGCCGAUUCAAAUAGAUUCUUUAUUUACAAAUAUUUUCUGCAAGCAAAUUGAUUAUGAAGAUGGUUAUUAACUUGGAAGGAAGAAAUGACAAGGAUUUAAGGAUGAUCAAGUGCCGGCUUACAAGUAUAUUUAAACCGGAGCACAACCCGACAAAUUUGUUCUUGUUGCAGAUCAGUUUAACAUGGAUGAAUCCAAAUUAAACUGGGGGCUAAUGUCGGGGGUAUACCCCGCUGUAUAAACCGCCGGAUGUAUGACUCGGCUAGAGUUUGGCGAUUCACUGGCAACCCACUUGGACAUGGCGGUUUACGGUUCAUUGGUAAUCCGGCAGGCGGGUCAGAGGAGCGACAAGACCCGAUGGCCCAACGGGCGGUUUAUGGAAGGCCGGAUCAUGCUAUGGUGGGCCGGUUUAAGAGAAAAGGCGUGAGGAAUAUUUACUCUACAAGGAAGACCCGGACUUGUAUCCGGUUUGUAUUAGAAGGGAGACUAGUCCUAAUCCUAAUAGGAAUCCACAUGUAACCCGCCCCUUCAACAUAUAUAAGGAGGGGCAGGACUCCCCAAAGAGGAACAAGCGACAAGCAACAAGAAACAAUCUUAGGGCUAGACACAAAGAGGAAAGCCGGUUUACGGCGACUCCCUCGUGAUGAUAAUGAGACCUAGCCUCAAACAGCAUGUAAGGUUUUUACCGGAUGAUGUUUCCCGGGGCCCGAAGCUGUCUAAAUCCUUGUCUUGCGUGUUGAUCCGCCCUGCGUAUCUCGUCCCACUCAACCCCUCUCAAGCUACCACAUAGAUGUGUUGGCCUCACGACUAAGUCCUGACACUAAGGACAUCUGCCGUGACAAAUCCACGACAAGGCCCGAACAGGGAGAUAUAUCAUUUGUGUGUGAAAGAAAACGAGGUUAAACGAGACUCAGAUAAAGAGAGCGAGAUUGAGCGAGUGUGUCCCGCCGUGCGGAAGAAAGAGUGAGACAGUCUCGAGGGAGUGACCUAGAGAUACAACGUACGUCCAUGCGCACGAGAGGUUGGGGGGCUAGAUAGGCAAUGCAUGUAUUUAGCGCGAGAAGGUGAGAGGGAGAGGGGGGAGAGAGAGAGCUCGGCAUGGGGUGCAAUGGCGGGUGUGUGAGGUAAAUACAUUUGGUAACAGGAGUGGAAAAGGGGUUGUGUAGUUGAGAGACUUAGAGAUCGAAACAUGGAGAGAAAGAAUGAACAUGUGUUGGAAAUCGAUAGCUUCCUAAGGUGGUUAGGAGUGGAAGAUUGACCGAUACAGAAAGUAUGUAGCGUUUGUGCGGGGGGGGGCUAAAACAACAUUUGAAUGUACAUAGUACGAGACUUAAUAUUGAUGUUUCAAUUCGGUGUACAUUGUAAGAUUUGAACCGAGGACCAGGCAUACGGAUAAUUUUUUCGAAUUCGUGCCAUACUAAGUUUCGAAAAGUUGACAUCGACUCAAUUUGUUGUGCUAUUUUAUAGGUCAUAUGUUUGAAUCCAUCCAAAAGUUUUCUCACUACCAUGGUGUUCAUCAUAUACAUAUGAAUUUGUAUUAAAAAAGUAGCACGGAUACAGUGAAAUGCAAAAUCCACGUUAGAAUUGGAGAUCGCUACGUGACACGCACUCUAAUUCAAAUAACUAACUACAUGACACACACUCUAAUUCAAAUAACUAAUUAUGUGACACACUCUAAUCCACGUUAGCGUGGGCACCGUUUCAAUUUUUUUUCAAAUAACUCCUCAUUAAUUAAUUUAUAGUACUCCCUCUGUUCACUUUUAUAAGACCUUGAAGACAUUUCAGACAAUGUGCAAAACAGUUCAUUUUAAGUUGUCUGAAACGACUUACAAAAGUGAACGGAUGGAGUAUCUCGUUUCGAAUGACUUAUUAUUGCAAGGAAAACACGGGAAUGGUAAUACAUACAAAUUCGUUUGCAAAUGAAAGAAGAUUUGUUUGCAUUCUCAAAUGUAGGCGCACCAGGCAGACCAGGGUCGUGUCGGGGUGGACACUGCUUCGGUGCCUUAAAGGCAACUGCCCUUGGGUGACUAACAUGUGGGCCAGCCACCUGUUGGGCCCACAUGUCAUGGACACAAAGGUAGGUGCCUUAAGGCACCGAAGCAUAUCCUGUCGGGGUGGUCGCGUGUGUCGGACGGACGCGUAGCACCUAGCCACCCACCCCCCCUCCCUCCCAAAAAAGGACGACGACAAUAUAAGUUCGCGCUUCCACGUUUCGGAUUGAAAUAUCUGGCGGCCCCAAUUCCAGCCCUACAAAAUCUCUCUUCUCCAUCGUCCCCUUCCGCGCCCAGAUUGCUUAAAUCCCUAAUUCGCCACCAUCCCUCGAAUCCCCCUCAUCUCGUCUCUUUCCCCAUCGUUCCCCACCUCUGUGUCGGACGACGACGAUGAAGAUGACGGUCGCGCUUCACCACCGCACCGGAGCUACAUCAUACGCCCUCGUCCACCGCACUGGGUGGUCCACCGACAACAUCGGCCGCCGCAACCGACGUGCCUCACAGACAUCGAGUUCCACCGCAUCAUGUGCGCUUCACCGAUGCCGUCUCCCAGCUCACCGAGGCUACUUCACCGAGCACAUCGUCGGACCUCCGCCCCCUGAGGCCGUUGGGGCUUCACCAACGGUCUCGUCCACCACAUCAUAGCGCUGCGCUGCCACUCAAGAUCUGCAUCCGUGCGCGGCCAGCCAACGCCAGCGCAUCACCCUCAACGGCUCUGAAGUGACCCGCACUCUAGCUAGGCGAGCAUGCCCAAACGCCGGUCCGAACUAGGUAUCCACACAUCACUCCCUUGUGCACUAUUCCGACGAUGUUUGGAUAUCCUUUCACUGCUCUCUUAGCUUACAUGCCUAUGCAACUCUGACUUUAACUCUUAUUUCUUCUGGAGAUAUCAUCUGAAACAAGCAAAUCCAUUUUUUAGCGAAGCAUGACGGCGCUACGGGAUCUGGUACACAUCCUGCACACCCGUAUAACCUUGUAAGUAUCUGUCCUCCUGUACAACAUCAAGGUCGAUUCCUCUUAUUUAAUCAACCAUUUGCCGUGUCAAAAAUGCAGAGGGGGAUGCAAGGAGCACAAGGCCUGCACAUCCAAGCAAGUGGUAACAUGGACUUGUACAUGGAACAUCCCAAGCGCAAGCAGAGCUGCAGUGAGCCUGUACAACGAGCUAGCGUAAGUCUCUGCAUUUCAUUUAAUUCGUACUGGCAUUCAUGUAUGAUUUGUGUGCAGUGGCCGAUCCACGAAUUCAAGUUACCAGGGGUGAACAUUUAACUUAAAAAAUAUGAAGGCACUUGCACUCCGGAAAUCAACAUAACUUGAGAAAUGUGAAGCUACAUGCACUUUGGAAACCAGCUAAUGAUCCAAAGUAGUUCAGAUUAUAAACACUAAAUGAUGCAAGCACCAAAAAACACAAAAUGCAACAUGGUGUACAAGGACUACAAACAUGGUCUGUACCUGCUUGAAUUAUUCGUUCUCUGGCUGAAAAUAUCGAAGUGUAAUUGCACAUAUAACCAGUGCGCAAACUGCAUAUCAAUAUAUCUAUCCUGCACAAGUAUGCCAAUAGUUUCAAACAACAGAUUAGAAAAGUAUUUAUGCUAUGUUGUCAUGAUACGGGGACUUUCUGGUAGAUGGCCUCAACGUUUCCUCAAGCUAUGAAAAUGCACUAUAAUUUGCUUGUCAUCAAUGCCUGCAAAUCUCUGUCUCUCUCAACAUAGUAGAUCAUCAUUAGACACUAAAUCCUUUAAUGAGCUUGCAAAAUGCUUGCAUUAGAUCCCUCAUUAGAUACUAUAUGUUCAUCACCAGGAGCAUGUAAAAUGUUUGCAUCAAAUCCUUCAUUAGCAGUCUGUUCAUUAGACACUUCAGGCUCAAGAACAACAUGAGCUUGUAGGUUUGCACCGGAAACUUGAUUAGAUACAUCAGAUUUAGUCAGUUCAGUAUUGAUUGGGGGAGUUAUAAAAUAAGUAGAAAUUGGUUUCAUUUUCUCAUAGAUUCCCUACAUACAAGCAGUUUUACAACACCGUCAGGUUUAACUAUUGGCCAGAAAUUGAAGAGUUGAAUUAGAUAUAAUCAGGGAUGUGAUGUACCUGCUCGUUGCGCAUGCUACUCUUGCAAGUUGCGACUGUCCGUUUGCGCAAGCUCGAUGCCAUGCCCGUGCUGCCGCCGCUGCCUCCCACACAGGCUACACCCAGGGUUGGAUCUUCAUCUUCUUGUCCUUCCGUUCGCUUGAAGCCCGGUGACCGUCCUCCAACGAGGGCGCGAGGAAGUGCUGUGUCGGUCUGUCCAGCGGCGGCUAUGUUAGGAGCAAACCAGACUGGAGGUUGGAGCGAAUGAAUUGGGAUUUUUCCUGCUGUCGAUCAAUAUGGGAGGCGCUCGUUUCAGCCGCGAGCCUGCUAUAGGGCCUGCCUUGCACUUAUGUUAUUGGCCCAUCCAAAUUGAAACAUUUUUUAUUCAUUUUUUACAUUGCCUGCUCGUGCGUUGGGACGAACAAAACUAGCAUGGGCCAACCUGGACGACUCAAACUAGGUGCACACUUUCCAGCCACCUGAGGCGGCCGCCCAUACCAGCCCCUAUGGUGGCGUCACCCCUUUUUGCGUGUAUGAUUGAACAGUGAAAAAUAUUCCAGUGGCGCUUUUGAUUUACCCACAGAAUGGUUGAAUUGAUUGUUUCUAUGAACUGAGUUCGCCAAUAAUGUGAAGGAUGCCAGUCUUUUCAUCCUAUUAUAGAUUGCUUAGAUCUUGAUAUGCCAAAACUAAUCGCAUGAAAUAUACUGUAAAAGCCAGUGUGAUGUGUUUGGCUACAACUAGUCUGACUACACGUCCUCAUAUAACAUAUCAAGGACGCACCAUCUUACCAGAUUAACCAUUCGACUUACCCAUGCAGUGUGGGAAGAAAGAAGUAUUGGGACUGCGUAUCCAAGCAAUUGAUGCCAUGGACUCCUUCGUACAACCUUGUAAGCAAAAAAGAAGUUGCAGUGUGCCUGUACAAAGAACUAGCGUAAGUUCAGUUACCUGCUUCUCGGAAUUUUAGUUAGCCACUUAUUGCAAAAUUGUUCAAUUAUGUUGCUUGGCUUAAUUUAGUUUGCUACUGAUUACAUAAUGGCACAACCUAUUAAUCAUAUUGUAGACUGCACCUAUCUAUGUUUUUGAUACUUACUGUUAAGAAUUACGUGUUUGCCUUAACUUAAAUAUCUACUUGUUUGUUUAACUGCUUUGCUGCUACAACAGCGGGUUACAAUGAUGUUAGUAACUACUUUUCAGUAUCCAAUUGAAACUCUUUAAUUCCUUGUUUGUUUAACUGGUUUGUUGUUAUAACUCCCAGUUGAGAUGUUUUGCUAACUUCAACUUUUCUGAAUCCAAUCGGAACUUUAAUGGAAAAAUAGGUUAGCCCAUGGUCAAAGAGAGAGGUCCCCAUGGAUGUUGCAUCAUACCACAGUAGUGGCACCGGCCCAAUCGUGCAUUAUGAAUUGCCAAUUGUUGAUGCUCUAGAGGCUAAACUAGUGGUAGAAAGAGAUUCUGCUUCUGCACUUAGAGAUGAAGUUGACAUGUUGAGGAAGCAAACAGCACAAUCACAAGCAGUACUCAAGACAACCAUUAAAUAUUUGGUGGAUUUCAAAACGAAGCAAGCUGAGACUGACCAGAUUGUUAAGGUCCUGAAGGAAAAAAGGAAAUUAAAUUCCUACUUGGUAAAUCAUAGGUGAAGUGUUCUUUCCAUAGUUGAAUAACCUUUGUGUUGUCUGUUCGUGUAAUCAAUCAAACCAUUUGUUUUAGUGAUCAUGUAAUAAUUGCUUUUUUUGUUUUUUGGUUUGUAAUUUUAUUUGAGCACAAGUGUGUAUUAAUUGAUAAGACUCAGAGACAUUUCAUUUGGAUUGUUGUGCAGACCUACAAAUAUGCCAAUCGGGCUGAAUGUGCAUUCAGCAAUAGUAGUAGUAUAGAUGGAUCAUAAGUGGCACGCAUCGGAAAGGGCCAAGAUGCUGGCUAAAAAAAGGAUGAUGUUGUAGCCAAAAAAAAGUACAGCGGCCUGGCUUAUGUAUGUUAGUUGAUAUUAUUGAUCCAUAUACUCUAUAAGUGUUUAUCUCCCUCUGUCCCAAAAUAUAAGAACGUUUUUAACACUACACUAGUGUCAAAAAUGUUCUUAUAUUAUGGGACAGAGGGAGUAGUUCUGUACAUUCUUGGUUGAUUGACUCGGUAUUUGAAUCUUGAUACAUCGCUUGUGUACAUAUCUAAAUGGGAGUACACAUUAUGCUAUGUGUGACAUUUGAGUUGGACAUGAAGUGUUCCAAAUAUUCGAAUUCACCUUAAACUGGAUUCUAGUUUCUGAAAUUUAGUAUCGGCAUUUGUAAACCAUAUUCAUAUAUGACAAUGGAAUACAUCUUUGUCGUCCUUUUGAAGAUAUAUAAAAACACAUAGAAUGAUUUAUAAAGAUUCAUAUAGGAAUACAAAAUGGAUUCGAAUUUAGUUGCCAGGGUAAACGUGGAUGCUUAUUGUCCCAAAAUUCGAAAGAAGCAGCAAAAUGUCCACUCCCACGUCGGCUGCCCGAAGCCAAGUGUUUGGGAGAUGGAAAUUACUGUCUACCCAUUACACGGACAAUCCAUUGGCCCGAUUUCCACUGCUCUAAAUAGGGGUAGGUAAGUAACUUCAAUUAGACGUGACACGACCGCCUCUGAGCCCAUUCCGACACGGUGGGCGUCAAACAUGGGCCGCAAAACACAUUUGAUUCAAGCUCGUCCGAAAGACCUCCGUUUCUCCCUCCAUUCCCCAUUCAUACACGAUGGGCGGCAAAAUAAACUCGACUCGGCCGAAAUUGAUGUAGGCAAAUAUUUUCAAUAGGGGCAGGUUUGUAACUUCACUCAGAUGCGAUGCAACCGCCCUACCUGUUAGCCCCGUUCAUACACCGUGGGCGCCAACCAUGGGCGCCAACCACCGUCUCCUCACCCGAAAUCGCUCUGGGCAAAUAUUAGCGAGAUGCGAGAUUACCGUCCUAUCCCCAACCGACGAGACGUCCAAAUUUUAAACGGGGGCUAAGUUCGUAACUUUCCCAUAUUUCAGACAGGCGCGUCCUAGAAACAUGGUUCCCCGUACCUCUCCCUCCAUUUUCCCAUUCAUACACCGUCCAUGCUAGAACACCCCAUCCCCACACCAGCCUCCGUCCGCCACCCCAUCCAUCGCCGAUGUCCUCCACCACAUCCAUCGCCACCGUCCUCCACCAUGCCGGAGCGCCUACCAAGACUGCGUCGUCCACUGCUAGAGAUGGACGUUUCUCAUCCACGACGACGGACCAAUAGCCUUGCAUCGCGUCCUCUCGCUUCAUCGGUGCCGUCGUCCUCUUUGUCGGGGCCGCUCUUCCACCGCAACGGGACUUAUCCCCCGAUGCACCCGUCUACCGUUGCAGAUCUGCUUCAACGCCACCGACAACCAUCUCACCCCCGAUGCCUACACGACGCCACAAGAGAGGUGGUACUUCAUAUCUCCUCAACUUUUUGAUCUCAACCAGAAAAUAGAUCUUAACUUGGUUACUCUACUUUCUUUUCAGCUCUUAGAAUUUAGUUCUUAGUUCGAAGCAAACAAUGGAUGCUAAAUAUCAUUUCUCCGGUUUGCAGCUUCAAAUCUACCAUGGCACAACCAUAAUACGGUUUAAUUGAUCAUGCUUAGGGUUUAAUUGAUCAUGUUGGUUCCGUGGUGGUUUCUUUAAUAGAAAUCGGAGAGGAAACCCUCUUUUCCUAAAAAAAUAUGCUUAGAGUUUCCCCCUUUUAUGAUCACUAUAUGAUCAGAAUAUGUGCUUCGUGUCAUAAUAACACUGCUCCACCCAUCAAGCUAAACAAGCUUAGAUGUUCAAAUACGAAUCUGAUAUUAUUAAAACAGAGUUGUUUAAUUGGUCAGCUAAACAUUCCUAAAUUAGUUUCGAAAAUGCAUGUUUGCCGCUCGGGUGUGUAUCUCUACAGGGUGCCCAUGGUGGGCCGGCCCACCCUGGGAUUUUGGGUCGUCCCAGGCCCUGAUUCCCCUCUAUUCUAUUGCACGCUUCCGAUCUCUACUCGCCCCCAGCCGUGCCUACCUUCCCAGUCCGGGCACGCCGCCGUGCCUACCUUCCCAGUCCGUUCAGGGCUCAGGCGUGCAACACCCACCAAGCCAACCUGAUUUAUCCUGAGAUACGUCCUCAACACUCAGCAGCCACUCCUCAUCACCCAUUUUCUAAUUGAUUCAUUACUCAUUAGGCAGGACUGUCAUUAGGGUUUGUUGUGUGCUCAGUGCUACCUACACUUAAUGGUUCAGAUGUAUUUCGGUAAUCUUUAGUACCUCUAAAGUUCACAGGGUUUUCAAAAUUCCAGCCCUCGGAACAGAAACUAGUCAUUUUGGAUUGUUGGUCGUAGUGACAUUGACCCAGAUUACUACUGCAAGCCAGGUUUGUUCACAAUUUUACUUGUCUUUCUUACUCAUUCGAUAUAAUAUCCAAUUAUUCACGUCGAUUAGUUGCAAACAAUAAGUGCUAGACAAACUUCUUCAUUCAGAUUUUGGACGAUCUCUUACUGCAGUUACAAUUCUGCAUACUUGUCCUAAUAAGCUCACAAGUAAAUGAUUGAUUCACUACAUCUAUGCUUGCCUUGUCAUAUUUGUUGUCAAUAUUCUUUUAGUGUGGACCACCCUGUUUCUAAAUACUGGAACCGUAGACAUGAGUGAAUAGUAUUUCUCUAUGUGAUCUCUUCCAUCAUGUGUGGGUAACGAACACUACAUUGUAUAGAAAGAAAGUGUCAUUUCUAGCUUUUACAUAGGUUUCGAUCUUUUACAUGGAAUACAAUCUGCCUACUUGCUUUGUGUCGCACUACCAACACUCCACCCUUGAAGCUAAACAUUACGCCACUCAUAAUUGCUUAGUUUGUUUGUUCAAAUACGAAUUUCAUAUGAUUCUAAUGUUCCUACUUCAGUUUUGAAAUGUGUGCCUGCCUGUUAUAGAGACAUAAGGGGUUUGUAUUUCUGUGUGUGGUCUGGUCAGCACGGUUGGGGAGGUGAACUUUGCAUAUGCAGGGGUUUAUAGGGAGACACUCUCCAAGUUGAAUCCGCAAUGCAUUCCAUAGAUAAUCUGACUACUUUUUAUGUUUUCAUGAAUCUCAGAUUCUGAAUAGCAUCAUAAUGAUUAUGAGCUUGCGCGCAUGGAAAGAAUAAAGCAGAACAAUGCCAUGGCUGUCAAACUUGGCAUUAAGGGACUGAAAUCAAGUCUGGAUGCAAUGCAAUGCAAACACUCUCCACCUACAGAUUCAUGCUCAAUAUGAUCCUAACAGUGAUUCUGAGCUAGAGGGAGACCUAAGUCAAUGUAUCUCCCUAGUGGAGGAGUCAGAGGAAGAUGACCUAUCUUAUUCACCCAUCAAGGUACUUGCUCUAACUUUCCAAGGUUACAUUGCUCGCACAUAUCUUGCAACUGAUGCUUUGCAUUGCUUCUACUUUGUUGAACUGUCAUUAGCUUAGUUUACACAUCGUGUAUGUGAAUACACCCUGCCUAUCCAUUUUUAGUACAUAUUCCAUCUUUCAUCAUACCAUAUUUAUCCAUUCAAAUGUUGUUCUUGUGUAUCAGACGUUCAAAAGGAAGAGGGCGAUUGCUGAUCAUGGAGGAGCAUAAGCAAAGUAUUUGGAAAAGGUAGUGGCACCUGAUAAAUCAAAUAGCCCAUUAGGUGUAGUUGCAAUAUCACCUGACCCACAAAAUACCCCAACUCUAGCAGACUCUAGCCCUACUACACUGGUCAUUUCUGAUGCCCCAACUCAGCAGAACCCAACUACAGCAAACAGUAUGAUUAUGCCAGUUGACAUAGCACCAGCUGUACGACGCAAAACCCCCAUUCCAGCAAAGAGUACACCAAAUCCAGUUGCCAAAUCCCUUUUUGAACCAGAGAGCCCCAAUUGCAGAAAAUAGGACCCCUGUUCCAUUUCUUCCCAGUUUAGAAGACGAAGCUUAUGUUGUUGUCAGGAACUUUGUGCGCAUCUUUCCUUCAUGGAAAGAUUAUACUGCAGACACAGAGCAAUUUCCAGUCUUCCUCCGCAACUUACGCGUAAGUAAUGUACUAAUGUUAUUCAUGGUCAUUAUUACAUAAGUUUCUGCUGACAGAAGACACAAGAUUUCAUUCUUUUAAAUAGGCGAGGAGCAAACUGGAUUGUGAUGACGAGCAAGAGUUGGUUGCGCUUUUCAAGCACUCGUUGAUGAAGUAUCGUUCCUACCUGAGGCAAGCGCACUUCGAUGGCAAGCCUCUGAACGAAAUUUCUGUAAAGUCUCCGGUGCUACAUUUAUCCGACGGUGACUGGAAUAAUCUUGUAACACAUUGGUCUCGGCAGCAGCGUAAGGUACUGUCUAUGAUAUCACAUCACAAUUUGAACUACAUUUCUGCAUUUUCCUUAAUGUCUCACUUGUACGAAAACUGUUAGCAGAAGAACAUUCAUUCUCAAGGGACCACAGAAUCUCGCAACUAUACUGCACACUCCAUUGCUCUUGUGAGUACCUCUGGCCCUGUAUGACCAUACUUACUUUCAUAGCUGUUUUAUUAUGUAGCAUCACUACACAUGUUAGCCUCGUAAUCGUCCAUUUGGUGGACAUUAUAAGAUUCAUAUGGACUCUUACACAAAUUUAGAAUCAACCCAAUGCUUUUGAAGAGGUUUAGCUCUGUAGUCCUCUUGUAAGGACUGAACGUGGUCUAUCACUGUACUUACAUUAACAGCUACUCCCUCCGUCCCAUAAUAUAAGAACAUUUUGUACAGUACACCAGUAUUCAAAACACUCUUGUAUUAUGGGAAGAGGGAUUGGUUCAUUUUGUAGCAUUCUGCAUCUUAUCUCCCUCGCCCACCAUUUACUAAAAAAGAUCAGAUCUAUAUUUAAUCUUACCAACAAGUAGAAUACACAUACAAUGCCAAUGCAGAAGUGUAGCCCAUUGCUCUUAUCAGUACAUUUUGUCCUGUAACGCUUGUACUUCCAGGGAUUGGUAGUUUAUUAUGUAGCAUCAAUCUGCAUCUUAUCUUCAUUAUCCUCUAUCCCUUCCAGUAUUAUCAUAUCUAUAAUUACUCUCUACAAAAUGUAGAGUACAUGCAAUGCUUAUGAAGAAGAUUCUGUGCUAAAAUUCUUGAGUUAUCCUUCCCUUGACAUGGAGAAGGGCAUUAUAAAGCCGGUGUUAACUGUUAAUGUAAGUUAGUCCUUCCAAAGCCUUUAUCCUCAACUACUGUUUAAUCUGCUCAUACUCCCUAUCAUUUACUGCUGUUUAGUUUGCUGUUUCUACCAAAAUGCAUGUUCGUAAGAACCAUAAGUUCUAAGUUUUACUUGUGAAACCAAAUUCCUUAUUCAUACCAUGCACAUUACUUAAUACUCCCUAUACGUAUGCUUGGUUUUGUGGAUCUAUAAUCUAGUGUGUGGUGAAGCAGCCCACGUUUGCACCUUGUCAUCUCCUGUUUUAUCUUACUGAUGUGGCUGAUGAUAUGAACAACAUGCCAUGCACAUUAUCCAAAAUAGAUACAAUGAUUUUCUUUGCCCUUCAUCUAUGCUUGUUAUGUUGACAUGGUAAUCCAGUAGUGUGGUGAAGCUCCCCGCAUUAUGAACAAUGCCAAAUUAUGCUAUUGAUAUUUUGAACUUACUCUUUAUUUUCUAAUUUGAAAUUGGAUAGAAUUGACAGAACAAUUAUCAUCUUUGUUUAUACACGUGCAAAACCUAUCAUCUCUCUACUUUGUUUCAGGGUGAUAUGCCUGAUGGCAUGCACAAGUCUGCUGAAGGCUGUGAGACAAACCCAACAUAUAUUGCAGUAAAGAAGGCAAAACAUCUUAAAGAUAGCGAGACAACCCCAAAGUCUUGUCCUGAUGCAGUGUUCAAGUUACUUGAGACUAACAGUCAGACAAGCUCAUAGAAUUCGUUGUCUAAAUCAGUUCGACUUCUUCAGUCGCAAGUUCUAGUAGAAAGGCAUUCUGCAACUCAACUUCGACUUGAAGUCCUAUCUCUAAGAAAGAUUGCGGAGAACACCAACAAGAACCUCAUCGCUAAACAGCUACACCUGGAAGCUAUGACCGACAUGCUAGGCCGGUCUCACAGCCUUGCUCAGCAGCUUGCGCAGCAGUUCCCCUGCAAGGCUAACCUUUCUUGAACUGUCUUGGAAGUGGUCUCGGUUCAGUAUUAUUUUGUUACGCUGCAAUGGUGCCCAGUUUUUGUAAUCUGCUUCUUCGUUGCGCUUUAUGAUCACUCGUGGCGAACUUCGAUGCCCAGUGGAUGUAAUAUACCUUAAAUCCUUUAUUGUAUAGUGUAGAUUUAUUCUUAGUUACUAUGCCGUAAUUUCUUUAUUGUACAGAGUAGGUUUGUUCUUAAUUCCUACUAGUUACUGCCAUCAUUCGCUAUCUGGAAAAAAAUCAGAUGUAGUCAACCCGGCCGAAACAUUUGACUCUAACGGGCUAGGUUUUUAGCGGGCAACAAUUGGGCUGGCCUGCAUCUUUCUUGGGCCCGAAUGAUUGGGGCCUUCACACAUUGCGCCAGGCCCAAACUUACACCGGCCUAUAUUUUAGUUGGGCCUUUUGUCGACCCAACGCUUAGUUUGGCCCAGGUAGCGUUAGGCCAUUAACAGGCUGAAUAUUGUACUGGCCUGUUACGGCCGAGAUGAAACCACGGGCCUUUAGCAGGCCAAAAUGCAUGUUGGGCCUCAAUUUUCACUAGUCGUCGAUGGGCCUUCAGCAGGCCGAAAUGUAGACCGGGUCGUUUUGGGCCCAGUUAGCUCACGGGCCGUUACCAGGCCGAAACAUAUCUCGGGCCUUAGUUGGCCCACUGAUAUCAUGGGCCAUUAAGAGGCCGAAAGCUUAGUACAGGCAUCAACUGGCCGAAUUACGCGACAGGCCUUUAACAGGCCCAAAGUCACGUUGGGCUUAACUGUUGCCACCUUUAGGACGUGUCGUUAGUGGGCUCGAUGUCCUGUCGACCAUAUAUGGCCCAUGGGCAGCACAUGCCAUUCCCAGGCCGAAAGUCACACCGGGCUGAAAUGGGGCCAUGUCUACAUCAGGCCUCUAACAGGCCGAAAGUCACUGGGCUAUAGUUGGGCCCAAAUUCGGCGAACAAUUAGCGGGCCAGAUCUGGCUUCGGGCCAAAAAUGGGCCCAAAUAUUGGGCGAACAAUUAACGGGCCAGAUCUGGCUUCAGGCCGUAAAUGGGCCCAAAUAUUGGGCGAAGAAUUAACGGGCCAAAUCUGGCUUCGAGUCGUAAAUGGGCCUUUAUUAAGCAGGCCAUUAUUGGGCUGGCCCACUAGUACCUGAUCAAGUUAUAUGGGCCUUUGACUGGGCCGGCCUUUUUAACCUAUAUGGGCCUCUGUUGGGCCCAGCCACGUGUCGACGUAUCAUAGGCAUGUAUCCUCCAAUGGACGGGCGACAUCUGGCCCACUGACGAGCUGACAGGUGUUCCCUUCGGCCAAUCAAAAUUUUACACGUGGAAAUUUCCCAUUGGUCGGGGCUGUUAACAGGUUAUUGGAUCCAAAAUCUGACCCGAUAGCUUAACGGCGUUCCAUUACGGUGGAUGCCACGUGUCGGUCACCCUUGAAGAAAGCACUUCUGUGACGCGUGAUUUAUCGUCAUGGAAGUGGACACUUCCGUGAUGAUAAUUUUGGUAAUGUCAUGGAACACUUCUACGACAGUACAGGUAUGACUAUCUUGAUUCUGUCAUAAAUUUGUCAUGGAUGUACAUGCAUGACGAAAAACGCGACCUACUGUGACAAACAUGUAUCAUCACGGAAGUGUAUUUUUUUGUAGUGUAACCCACAGUUCCACAGGAUCGAAACCUGACUCUCCUAUGCAUCCCUACUUCCAAGGUUAUUCUACCGCUUGGAUUCAUAUGAGAUUCACGAGCCACCUUCCUAGAGAUCUAUUCCGGUUUCAGACGCAAUACUUACUCGUUGCUCUGAACUCCUUUCACGCUCUGUUUCAGGCAUCGAAUGAUUGCCUACCCGCUUGAAGCUUCUAUUUGCAUCUUCUUACUUUGCUCUCGAUUUUUUUCUGAUUCGAGACUUAAUUUCUUCCACCUUCCCUGAUGAUAUCUACCAGAUAAGCAACCUUGUAGAGGACCGUUCUUCCGAAGUUACCCCUUGUCCUUCCUUAAGUACGAUAAAGACCCCGAAGAAAGGAUGAUGAAUUCUUCAUGAUGAUCUGAAGUAGAGAAACAAAGACAUCAACGAGAGGGAUCGAUUUCUUUGAAAAGAGCAACCAAGGAUGAGAAGAUCGUUAGAAAUUCGUAACCAGAACUUUCCCCCUUACCCGCCCUCUUAAAUCUCGGGACAAGAUUUCUUGUAGUAGAGGAGAUUUGUAACACCUCGAGAAUCAUGCUAUAGUAAUCUCCCCGUAAUGAUGGCCAUGUCAUCAUGAUUACAAUGCAAAUUGCCAUUCGAUAAAAAUCAAAGUCAAUUUCGAAUUUAAAAUAAAGUGAAAAUAAAUUAUUUAUUCAAACUGUCCAGCAAAAAUGUUCGUUGGGUUGCAAUUAAUCACUAAGUAUUUUUUAUGUAGAAACUAAUAUUAUUUGAAAUAAUAUAUUGCCCCCAACCUAUUUAACUCAGUGCCCAAAACAGCAUAUUUAAUCCUUAUGUUUUUAAAAAGAAAUUCAGACAACUUCAAAUCACUCCCAAACAUUUUGUGGCAGUGAGGUAUAUUGCAUACUAAAUUUUGAGACCAGCCACGCAUUUUACAAGUCAUUUGGUGCUCCAAUUAAAGGCAAGUAGUAAAGAAAUAAAUAACACUAAAAAAAAGGAGGAAGAAAAGGCCUAAAGCUACGGGAGCGACUGAGCCUUAGGUGCACAGAGGCCUAGCCCAGCCGCACCUCCCAUGUCUUCCACCUUGCUACAGGGAGGCAGUGAUCAUGGCGGCAAUCCACCCACCAUGGCUGCGCCUCGGACACGCGGCGGCCAUCCCCCGGCCCUCUGAGAGGUUAAGAGCAUCCCCACACCCCGUGGAACCCUAACCCUCGUUUCUCUUCCCCGCUCAAUUCCUCUCUGGAUCUGAAUGUUGAACCGAGCCAUCGUCACCAUGGCCUCCGAUGUCCACGCGCCCACCGAGCUCCCCGCGCCCAGCCACCUCGACCAGGAGCUUCACCGAUGUCCACUCCGUCGACUAAGUCCAUCGUUCGGAGCCGGGAGCCCCUACAUCGACCACAUCGAGGUCAUCUUCAACCUUCGCCCCGUCUUUCGCCGUCUUUGAAACGGCCUCAUCAGAGCCUCCCCGACCUUCC
RNAcentral lists this long non-coding RNA (47904 nucleotides) under Triticum aestivum (bread wheat). Its description in RNAcentral is "long non-coding RNA (TAES_LNC003105)". The stretch from base 38775 to 38861 matches the Rfam family "MIR1120/MIR1122 microRNA precursor family". The record is from RNAcentral. Lineage: Eukaryota; Viridiplantae; Streptophyta; Magnoliopsida; Poales; Poaceae.